This 53231-nucleotide long non-coding RNA is filed under the name Arabidopsis lyrata. Its description in RNAcentral is "long non-coding RNA (ALYR_LNC003230)". The record is from RNAcentral. Lineage: Eukaryota; Viridiplantae; Streptophyta; Magnoliopsida; Brassicales; Brassicaceae.
AAUACCAAAGUGUGAAUCAAUAAAGCCAAGUCAGGUCGAUAUCAAAUUCUACAUUUUAUGAAAAGGAAAACAAUACUAGGGAAAUGCAAUUAAACGAACAUACAACCAAGAAGUCUUUCCCCUCUUCAUGCGGAACUGGAGACUCUCUUAUGGACGAUGAAGUGCUUAUUAGCGCUCCCAAUGACGAGCAUUCUCAUUCUGACGGAUUGUUCGGAUCUUUUAGAGAUGACUUCUAAUCCUGAGGAGUGGCCUACUUUUUCUACAGAGUUGAAGGACUUUGUGUAUUACAUGGCUUUGUUUUCUACUUUUAGUGUUAGACAUAUCACUCGUAGUGGUAAUUCUUCCGCCGAUCAUCUCGCGAAAUGUGCAAGAGGUCGCGGGUUUUGUUUUUCCCAUGUAAGUUUUACGGUACCUGACUGGCUCUCUCUAGAAGAGAGUCAUUUUCCGUGAAUUAAUAUAUGGUGUUUGAUUGGAAAAAAAAAAAAAAAAAAACUAAGAUUUUCUUAAAAAAAAUAAGAUUCGUCAAGAGAUUAUAUUAUGGAAAUAUUGAGGAGUCGAAUACGAUGUUAUAUUUCUAAAGAGAUUGACAAAAAUAGCACUACAUUUGAAAAGUUUCACAAAUAGCACUAUAAACUUUAAUUAAAUAUUAAAUAUAAAUAAUUAGUUCAAUUAAAAUAAAUAAAUAAAUAAAAUUGGAAAUUUCCCGCGAAAAGUUCAGGAAGGAUUCCACGUAAUUCAGGACGGGAAAAAGUCGGACGGAAUUAUUUUUUCCGGGAGCGAAAAAUUUUGAUGGAAAUUUUUUUGGCAGGAAAAUUUUGACGGGAUUUUUUUUUGGCGGGAAAAUAUUUGUUUUUGGUGAAUAUUGGUGGGAAAAUAUUAACGAUGAAUUUGUGACUUUUUGUAUAUAUUUAUAAUUAUUUAUUAAUUUACAAAAUCAAAAUAAGGUGCUAUUUUUGUCCAAUAAACUUUUGAGUGCUAUUCUUGUCUUAAAAACUUGAUUUGGGGCUAUAAGAGGUAAUUUCUCAUCACUAUUAUCUAAGAUAUGUCUAGUUGUUUAUACAGCCAAGUACAAUGGGAGACGAGUUCAAUUUGGGGAAGUUAUGUUAGGAAUCAGUCAAAAUAAAACUAAUUCCAACAAUCAAAACUAAUAUAUAACCUUUUUUUUUUAUCAUAGCAUGGAUAUUACCUAGUAACUUAAUAAAAGUUUAACCUUCUUUUAGUAUCCCUUCUAACGUUUUUGAUUUGGAUCAAAAAAUUCAGUGUUUAGGAUUUCUUUAGCUUGGAAGAUUUAUAAAAAGCUAUUGGCUGGCAUAAUUUUUAAUAAUAUAGAGAAAAAUUAUUCUUUAAAAAAGAACAUUGCAGUGAAUGAGUCUCGUAACCACUUAUUAUUUAAAUAUGAUUUUUCUUCAGCUAUCUGAACCGAUUUGAUAGAAAAAAUGGGAAUUCCAAUAAGAAAAUUUCACAUAUCAUACUAAACUUUUUCUUUCACUGUUUGGCAAAGUCAAUUUGAGUUUCCAUAGAAUAGCCAUAAAGCCAAAAUCGGACCAAAAUGCUCUUGUAACUAAAUUCUUAGGGAUCUAGUUUCACAACCCAGUCUCUUAGAUAAUUAAAAAAAAAAAAAAACUAAUAAACAUUUCGUUGUGAGAAAUGAAGAAAAACGAGAAAGAGAGAAGAACUCUUCAUCUUCUUCACCAAAAGAUUUCUGGAAAUUUGGAGAAAAUUUUCUAUUCUUUAUGUUAUCUUUAAUUCUUUGAUAGUUGGGUUACACAAUCUUCAUUUGAGAAAAAAACAUGUUGCAACAGAGGAAAUAAUUCCGGUGAGACGAAACGAAGAAAAAAUUUCAGGCGAGAAGAGAUUGAGAGAUUUCAGUGUAGAGAACUCCGGCGAGAAGUAAAAAGAAGGAUAUUGGUUUCUCGUAUUUUCGCGACAUAAGUCUCGGGAAUUUGGAGGAUAGAAUGAUGGCGAGAAUAUAUAGAAGGUUUCUCGUACACUAGAAACAUAAAAGGUAGAUUUGACAACGUUUUGCACUUCAUCUUUUUGUAGGAUUGGAAAUAUAGAUCCGAAAGAAGAUGAAAAUGUAGCUGCAAGUUGUGUAGAGCUACCAAUUAGGUUGUUUGGUAAAGGGCUGAAGGGAACAUAAGAAAUGAAAUUUCUGUCAAGCACUCUUUUUGGCUAGCUUUUUCAUAUCCAUCCUAACAAGUAUUCAUUUUCAGGGAAGCUCAUUCUUGGAUUAGUGUGCCGAUAGUUGGUGACAAAGAAACAGCACGAGAUGUGAAUAUUUUUUCGAGUGUCGAUUCACAAAUAUUAUUUGACACAUAUCUUGUGAUUUUGAAAGAUUAUGAUCUGCUACAGACAAUAUCUUGUGAUAUUUUCCCCCUAGUUUAUGUAGGCUAUGAUUGGUGACAAAACUAAAAGCAGUACAAAGCUAUACACAAAAAUUGUUACCAAUCAAAACAAUUUUAUGAAAAGCGGUACGCGAUAACAUAACAGUUCUUUUUUUGGACAAAAACAAAAACAAAUUAAAACGGUUACGAUUAAGGUUAAAUAAAGUUAUGGUUAAAUACGGUUAUGGUUAUAACGGUUAUGGUUAAAUACGGUUACGGUUACAAUAAUUAUGGUUAAAUACGGUUACGGUUAUUUGAUGACUACAAAACGGUUAAUAUCGGAGGCGAAAUCUUACGAGUUACCUAACUUAUUAUAAUACUUUUAAUAAAAUAAAAAGUAUGUUAUAAACCAAAUUUUCUUCAUUUUGAGCAAUAUAACAUUACAACAUAUUUGUUUGAGAAAAAGACCAUUUUUUAUAACGUAGAUUUUUUUAUAUGCGGUAUCAUUUACUUUUUUGAAAAUCUUAGUCUGAACAUUCGAUAUUUGUUUUUGCAUUAUAUGGAGUUACAAUUAUAUUUUUAAAGUUUUAACUAUGCGGUUAAUAGUACGGUUAACCAUGCGGUUACGGUUAAAUAACGGUUUUGAUAUGUUUACGGUUAAUUAACGGUUACGGUUAAUUUUUUUUUAACCGUAACUAAUUAUUUUUUACGGUUAGUGGUUAUGAUUUUUAACCAUUUUAUACGGUUACGGUUGAGAAACGGUCCGGUGACGGUCCAAAAUACGGUUACGGUUAGCUUUUGUUCAUGCCUACAAUCUGCAACUAGGCAUGACCAAAAACUAACGGUAACCGUAUUUUGGAUCGUAACCAGACCGUUUCUCAACCGUAACUGGAUAAAACGGUUAAAAAGCAUAACCAUUCACCGUAAAACUAGAUUAGUUACGGUUAGGAAAAUAUGCUAACCGUAACCAUUGAUAUACCAGAAACGUAUCAAAACUGUUAUUUAACCGUACGGUUAACAGUAUUAUUAACUGCAUAAUUAAACUUUAAGAAUAUAAUUGUAACUAUGUAUAAUGCAAAAAAAAUAUAUAAUGUUCAGAUAAAGAUUUUUGAAAAAGUAAAUAAUACCGCCUAUGAAAAAUCUCAUUAGAAAUAAUGGUUUUUUUCUCAAACAAUUAUUUUGUAAUGCUAUAUUGCUCAAAAUGAAGAAAAUUUAGUUUAUAACAUAUUUUUCCAUCUUGUUAACAGUAGUGUAAAAAAGUUACAUAAAUUAUAAGAUUUUGCCUCUGAUAUUAACCAUAUCGUAGCCACCAUAUAACCGUAACCGUAUAUAACCAUAACCGUAUAUAACCGUAACCGUUGUAACCGUAGUAGUAUUUAACCGGAACCGGUUUAGCUUUAUAUAUAGUGAUUAAGGUUACGGUUAAAGAAAAUUUAUAACUGUAACCGUUGGUUAAUCAACCGUAUCCGUAAUAACCGUAACCGUGGUCAUGCCUAUCUUCAACAAUUAUUUAUGUAAAACCAAAAAACAAAAAAGCCUUUAAAACUUAUCUUUCCACUAUCGGUGAACAAUCGUUUAUCUAAAAUUCAAAAAAAAAAAAAACAAUCAUUCAUGUGGAUAGGUAACGCGAAUUGGUUUGUCAAAUUUUUCUUUUAUCUAAAUAAAUAUUUUAUUAAUAAAACAAAUAUUAUAAAAUACAACUUUGUUUUCCUAUAUAUAGAAGAACGAAGCAAAGUUUAUCAUCGUUGUUCUCCUAGUUGUAUUUAAUUGUUUUUCUUUUUCGCAAACGACUUCUUUUCAUUUAUCAUUACAAUUUGAAUAAAAAAAAGUACAAGACACUAUUAUUGUUUCAGUUAUAUACGAUCAAGGUAAUAAUUAAUUGUUUAUGAUACAUAUAUGUUGCUAAUUUAUAAUUAAGGUCAAAAUAAUUAUGUGAAUAUAAUUUUAGUUUAGUUUAUAUUAUAGUUAUCGUAUAUAACAUAUUCAUGUUAUGUUAUGAUAUAAUAAUAAUUAUUUAAAUGAAUACAUUUGUGUUACAAUGUAAAAAUAAUUUUAGAAGAUGGUAUUUGUACUAUUAUAAUUAGUAUCAUUUGUUACUGCUAAAUCUAAAUUAUUACUAAAAUUGUAUUAAACUGAUUUGUCGUAGUUAAUAUUUUGUCUACAGAGUGUCUAGUGCUAAUGAACGGUCAAGUUCUUCACGUCGACGAAAGAAUGUAAAUUAUAUAUAUCACAUAACUAAUAUAUUUAAUAUAAUAAUUUUUAUAACCCAAUUACAUGAGUCAUUCAUAUAAAAAAAAUAUAUAUAUUUCACUUUUUUUAGAAAGAAUACUGGUCUUUUUCUAAAGAGAGUGUUGUGCUUGAACUAUAUGAAGCUGAGCUUGCAAAUAUAGACUAUAAUACAUAUGGUUUGAAAAAACUACAUCGAAAUCGUAUUAUGAGCAAACUAUUAAAGAGGACGGGUAAACAUGUUGAUAGUUGGAUAAAGGUCAAAAACAAGAUAGAUACAUUGAAGGGAAAUUACAAAGAAUGGGUCGACCUAAUGAGUAAAACAGGUGUAAGUUCGGAUAGCAGAACUUGAGUUAUCCGAAUGGAUGACGAUUGGUGGCAAUUACGUGAGGCGGUAUGUAUUCUAUUUUGUAUUAAUUUAAAUUAGAUGUUAAAAUUGUGUAUCUAAGAAAUAUAUAUAUUUUUUUUCAGGAGAGUAGAACAAUUUUGGCUUGUCACCAUAAACCGCCAAAAUAUUGGGAUGCACUGUAACGUAUUUAUGGACAAUAUGAUGUAUAAACUGAACACAUGUAUGAUGUUGAUGGAGCACGUAGAGAACUGCUUAAAGAAGAUGAAAGAGCAGAUUUUAGUGGUGGUUUUGAUGAGGAUGGUUAUGCUAAUAAUGAGAUUCCUCAAACUCAUGCAGAAAAUACUGAUGAAGAUGCAGCACCCGAAACACAUGUAGAUAUUCCAGUUACAUCGGCAGAAGAAAUCUAUAAUCGUUCAGGUAGAAAUACCGCACGUGCUGCGCCAUACAGUGCCGAACGAGGAGAAAGUAGUCAGCGAAGAAGUAAUUCACGAGUUCAUUUUUCUGGUAAUAAAGAUCGUAGUAACCGUAGAAAGCAUCAAUUCGAAAGCUCUGUUACCACUGCAUUUCAAGGAAUAGCAGAUGCCCAACGUGCAACUGUAUCAGCUAUGCGACGUGAUAGGUACAAUCCCGAAGAAUACGCAAAAUUUAAAGAAGCAUUUGCUAUAUUGAAUUCUUUACCAAUUGAGAAGUGCAAACCGUUUUGGAAAGCCUCAGCAAAGCUUCUUAAGGAGGAUGCAUGGUGGUGUAAUGCAUUUUUAGACACCUCUUUUAAGUCAGAUGAAGAUAGAAUCCGAUUUUUGGAAAGUAUAACAGAGGUGGGCCGAUUGGAAACCGUAACUCCUUCAAAUUUGGCAAACUUUGGAUCCUUUUAAAGUGGUCCCAACGGUGGAAGUGUGCGAUCAUCGGGAAGUUCUAUAGGACAUUCUUUAGGAAAUUCUGUGGGAAAUUCAUCUGGAAACUCUGAAUAUAGGUUUGCUGAAUUUCCACAGUUUCAUUCAUCUCCCGCUAUGGGAUAGUUCUUUUCCUCUCCGGGGCAAGGAUUUAAUAUGCCUGGACAGAUGAUGGGUGCGCCAUAUGUUCCGAUGAUGUUUCCUCAAGGAUUUGGUGGUUAUCCUUUUAUAGCCUCGUCGUCUGCUACACAAAUGAUGCAAACAUCAGGAUCUCCUAGAGUCUUUAAUGUUGGGGCAGCAUCAUCGAUGGGUGGAAUUUCAGCUAGACAAAUGGGAGAAACUAAUCAAGAAACAAGAACAUAUUUUUCUCCUGGUUUUGUAACGCCAAAUCGACGAUCAACUGAUAUUAGAUAUAGAUUUGGUGUACCAUCUGCAACUGGUACUCAGCCACGACAUUUGAAUUUUAUGGAUGAUAGAACAUCAAACAAUCACACUGAUAGCUCGAGACAAUAAAUAUAUAAUCUCAAAUGUUUAUAGUGUUUAUGAAUGUUUGUAUUAUAUUUUUAAGAUUUAAAAUUUAUGUUUAAUGUAUGUUUGUCUACCACUGAUUUUUUAGUCACUUAACUUAUUUUUUUAAUGGCCAGGAAAAUCGUAUGAAAGAGUUGUACUCUCGUGGACUAGAUAAUCUAACACACCAAGAAUUAUGCGAAUUGUUUAUGCUUGAAAAAGAAGAAGUCGAUGAGGUACUUAUUCAACCAACGAUGCAAUACUUUGAACUAUAUUUUUGUCGAUAACCCAUGCAAGUGGGAGGAGGAUUAGGUUGGCUAAAUAUUAAAUGCCAAAUUGAACGUGAUGAUGCUUCAUGCUUACAUGCAGUAAGGAUGACCCGAGGAACAUUCCAAAUGUUGUGUCAGAUGAUGGAAAACAAGUAUGGCUUAACACCAACAAAAAAUAUUAGCAUUGACGAAAGUGUUGCAAUGUUUCUUUCUACAUGUGGUCAUAAUGAAAUUUAACAUACUGUAGCCCGAAAUUUUGGGCGUAACCAAGAGACAGUAAAUCGGAAGUUUCAUAUAGGCAUGACCAAAAGCUACCCGUAACCAUAUUUCGGACCGUAAUCAGACCGUUUCUCGACCGUAACCGUAUAAAACGGUUAAAAACCGUAACCGUUAACCAUCAAAAUAGACUAGUUACGGUUAAAAAAUAUACUAACCAUAACCGUUAAUUAACCGUAAACGUGUCAAAACCGUUAGUUAACCGUACGGUUAACCGCACUAUUAACUGCAUAGUUAAAACUUUAAAAAUAUAAUUGUAGCUGCGUAUAAUGCAAAAACAAAUAUCGAAUAUUCAAAUAAAGAUUUUCAAAAAAAAGUAAAUGAUACCGCACAUUAAAAAAUCUACGUUAGGAAAAAUAGUUUUUUUCAAACAAAUAUGUUCUAAUGCUAUAUUGCUAAAAAAGAAGAAAAUUUGGUUUAUAACAUAUUUUUUCACCUUAUUAAAAGUAGUAUAAAAAGUUAGUUAACUCGUAAGAUUUUACCUCCGAUAUUAACCAUAUCGUAAUCAUCAAAUAACCGUUACCGUAUUAAACCGUAACCGUAUUUAACCGUAACCGUUUUAACCGGAUAUAUAGUGGUUAAAGUUACGGUUAAAGAAAAUUUAUAACCGUUACCGGCGGUUACUCGACCGUAACCGUAAUAACCGUAACCGUGGUCAUGCCUAGUUUCAUGAAGUGUUAAAUGCGAUAGAGCGAUUUGCGUGUGAUCAAUUAGGACUCCAACGUCCCAGCAACUUAGAGAGUAUCCCCGCAGUCUUUGUUAUGAUCCGAGGUAUUGGCUAUUUUUUAUAGGUUUCAUAGGUGCUAUAGAUGGAACACAUGUUCCUGUCAUAGCACCACAUGAAAAUCGAAGAGUUUAUUGGGAUCGUUUUGGUGAACCAAACCUAAAUAUUAUGACGAUAUGUGAUUUAGACUUGCUUUUCACAUAUAUAUGGAAUGGAGCACCGGAUUCCCUUCUUGAUUCUAGAGUUUUAUCGAUAGCACAAGAGAAUAGCCAAAAAUUUUUGAAACCUCUAACUGGUAAAUAUUAUCUAGUUGAUUCUGGAUAUGCGAACCGAAAGGGUUAGUUAGCUCCUUACCGGAGUAACCAAUAAGAAGAGCUGAGGUAUCAUUUAGGGCAAUUUCAUAAUGGUCCACCUCCAAGAAAUAAGUAUGAAUUGUUCAACAGAUGGCAUGCUUCACUUCGUUCUGCUAUUGAAAAAACUUUGGAAUCAGAAAAAAAUAAAUGGAGGGUCGUGAAACAACUACCGCGAUACAAAUUAGAAAUUCAAAAAAAAAUAGUGCUUGUUACAAUGGAUCUUCAUAAUUACAUUCGGCGUUCCAAUAUUGUUGAUGAUGAUUUAGAGACCGAUGCAGAUAAUGAAAAUGAUAAUGGACAACAUGAUGUAGAUGUAAGUGUGGUCAUUGAAAUAGAAGAGGUGGAAACAUCGAGAAGUGGAGCAUAUAUGGCAGAUGUACGUAAUCAAAUAGCAGAUUUGUUAUGGGAAGCUCGUACUUAAUUUCAAUUGUUUAUGUGUUUGUGUAUGUUUAAAUUCUCUAUGUAUGUAUGAGACAUUGUAUUUUAGAUUAAAAAAAUUUACUAAAAUUAAUUUUAGUAAAUCAGUUUUAAUGUUUUAAUUUUAUAAUAAGUAAAAAGAUAUUUUUAUUUAUUAUAGGACUAGUAAAUUCAUAUUAUUAUUCUAACAAUAAAAUAUUGUUCAUUCUGUAUAAUUUUAAUUUUCAUAUGUAAUUAUAUACUAAAGUAUAUUUCUAUGUAAUUUUUUUUUCUAAACUCUGAAUAUUACUUAUUAUUUGUACCGCUAUGAUGUUUCUAAUCAGAGUAAAUUUUUUAAAUUUGUCCUGUGUUGUUUUUUGUACAGCUUUCGUGUUUUAUUCUUUUGUACAGUUUUGCAUUAUUUCCUAACAGUUCCAGCUAAUAGCUAAAAAACUGGUACAGCUUUAGCUUUAGGUUACCAGUCAGACCCGUAAUAACUCAUUAUGACUAAGAUUUAAGCGCACUUUUAUCUUUCUCAUAUUUUAAUUUCUUAUUUUUAUAUUUUUCAUACUUCAAGAACUUUCUAACCACCCACUUUAAGCAAAGAACUCUCUGACCACCCACUUUAAGCAAAAUAGAUUUAUAUAAGAUUUAAGCGCACUUUUAUCUUUCUCAUAUUUUAAUUUCUUAUUUUUAUAUUUUUCAUACUUCAAGAACUCUCUGACCACCCACUUUUCGUGUUUUAUUCUUUUGUACAGCUUUGCAUUAUUCCCUAACAGCUCCAGCUAAUAGCUAAAAAACUGGUACAACUUUAGCUUUAGGUUACCACUCAGACCCGUAAUAACUCAUUAUGACUAAGAUUUAAGCGCACUUUUAUCUUUCUCAUAUUUUAAUUUCUUAUUUUUAUAUUUUUCAUACUUCAAUAACUCUUUGACCACCCACUUUAAGCAAAAUAGAUGUACAUUUAUAUGAUUUGACUCUUAAAUCAACUCCAUAGUUUCACUUCACCACAAAAAAAAAUGAUAAACGAAUUUACUAACGAAAUUAUAAGAAUGAGAUAUUUAGUAUUUGUAGGCCUGGGCAUAUGGGUAACCCGUUCGGAUUCGGGUAAAACCCGUUCGGGUUCGGGUUGAAUGGGUAAUGAAUUUAUGGCCAUUCGGGUAUUCCUAUGAUUUCGGUUCCGGUCCGGUUCGGGUAUUGUCGGGUUCGGGUCGGUUUGGGUAAUACCCGAAGUUUAAAAUCACUUUACAUACUCAAAUGAUCAAAUAAGAGAAUAGAACAUCAAACAUGACAUUUAAAUACUAAAUUCAAUCCUAAAUAACAAAGAUGACUAUUUCGCUCUUAAGUGUUAAGAGUAGAUUCUAAUUAUCUAUAUACAUAUAUAAACUCAAAUGUCAAAAGUCACAAAACCUAAAACCUAGGACAUACAUAUAAGUAUAUAACUAUAUAAGACUAUAUAUCUAAUUAUCUAUAUACAUAUAUAAACAUGUGUAUUUCUUCGGGUUUGUGGGUACCCUAAAUGGGUAACGGGUAAUCCCCGACCCGACCCGAUACCCAUGGGUAAUCCAAUACUCUACCCAAUGAGAUAAUUUUUCUAAUACCCUAACCCGCUCCAACCCGAUUUUUUCGGUCCGGAUAUCGGUUCGGGUAUCGGAUCCGGGUUUUUUGCCCAGGCCUAAGUAUUUGUAAUUAUAAGAAUUGAGAGUGAAUGUGAUAUUGCACCAUUCACUUUCACGUAUCCUUGUGUAUGAUUGUUUCAUUUACUUCUCUAAUUGGCCUCACAUAAGAUUUGAUAUUGCACCAUUUACUUACACAUAUCCAUAUUUCAAAAAUUGUUUAGUAUGAAUAAAAAUUCUUAAGACCACCAUUAUCCAUGGGUUCUUAGCCAAAUCUUAAGCUAAGAUUUGUGAAGAAAAAGCUUAAAUAUAAACCUAAAAGCUCUUAUAUAAGACCUCUUUCUUCACAAAUCUUAGCUUAAGAUUUGGCUAAGAUUCAUCUAAGAGCCCAUGGAUAAGGGUGCUCUAAUAUGUGUACCAGAUAAACACACAAAUUAAUAACGUGUACGCACAUGUAAAACUCUCUUAACGACACAAUUCAUAAUAGAUUUGGCUAAAUGCAGGUCCCUAUAUGAUUAUGAGAUUUUUAAGUUGUGCUUGAUAUGUAAAUAGAUUUGAUUACGUGUUAUAAUAUUGAAAUAAGUUUAUCCUUAAUCAACGGAAUAUUUUUGAAUCGGGUUGUUUUAUAGAAUAAAUGAUUAUGAGAUUUUUAAGUUGUGCUUGAUAUGGAAAUAGAUUUGAUUACGUGUUAUAAUAUUGGAAUAAGUUUAUCCUUAAUCAACGGAAUAUUUUAGAAUCGGGUUGUUAUAUAGAAUAAAUGAUUAUGCGAAUUUUAAGUGGUGUUUGAUAUGGAAAUUGAUUUGAUUACAUGUUAUCUAAUUAAUUUUCUAUUGAAUGUUUGUAGAUAUGGAUCAUAAAGGCUUGAUAUUAAUAGUGGGCCAAUAAACAUAAAGCCCAUUAUGCAACCAAUCAAAGGUUCGUGUGUAUUACCGAAGUUCGCCCGUGAUCCGUCUCAUUUACCAGAUGGAUAUCCGAUUAAAUAUCCAGGAUCCGCGUCCUUUUGAAUCCCAAAUGUCAAUUAUACCCCUCGACGAAAUUUUUUGUUUUCACUUGAAAUACUAAAUUUGUAAUGGCAUUCCUUUGUAAUUUUUUACCUUUAUUGAGGUUAGUUAUUAAAAAAUGCUUCCCAAUUAAUAGAAUAGAUAAUAUAUAGUAAAAUGGAUUUUAAAGGAUAGAAAAAAAACAAUAAAAAUAAAAAUUAUUCAUAAUAAUAAAAAGAAAGAAAAUGUGAAAACUUAAAGUGGUGGAAAAUUGUAUAAUUAUUUUUAAAACCAUUAAAUCCCUCUGACAUUUAUUUAUUUUUUUCUCUUUUUUAACUGUAGCCAACGAGAUCAAUGUACUGUAGUUGACGAAAACGUAACUAAUUCGUACACAGUCCAAUCAAAUUCUAACCAGACGUACACGACUACAGUUUUAUUCAUGGGCAUUUUCAUCCGAAAUGAUGUAAAUGGCUAAACUGUGAAAAUUGAAGCUGAUGGUUAAAAAACAUGACUGCUGGCUCUGGCCUGAAAUUUACCCUUCCAAACCCUCAUGUGGAUUGGGAUCAGAUUCUUCUUUGGUAAUUAUCAUUCUCGUCAAAUGUUGUAACCUCUCUUACCUUUCUUCAAGGUUGGAAAACUUGUCUCUAUGAGAUAUGGAAUGAGCAGAACCGUCACUACCACAUUGGAAUCACUCUUCCUCGCUCAAUCAUUCUUCUCAAAAUAGACUUGGAGAUCAAGAACAAAACAACCGCCUUAAAGAAUUUGAGAUCAAAGCAUGGUGAAGCUUUGGUUCUCUUCUGGUCUACACGAUGAGUUACCUCUUGUGUAUCCAAUAGCGGAUCGAGAAUUAUUUUUACCCAGGUCACAGUGUAUCUGUCUCUUGUACGAUUGAGUGUGCGUGUCUCACUCCUUUGUCCUCUGCCACUCCCUUUCUGGUGAUUCUGUUCUUUUAUUUUCUUUCGCUGGAUUUUAUUUGAUUUCAUGUAUUUUUUCUACUUUAAUCUAAGGUCUUAUAAAAAUAAAAAUAAAAACAAAAACAUUGCAACUACAGUAAAACCUCUAUAAAUUAAUAAUGUCGGGACUAGCAAAUUUUAUUAAUUUAGAGAAGUAUUAAUUUAUCGAUAAAUUAAUAAUUAUUAAUUUAUAGAGAGAUUUUACUAAUUUUAUAAUUUCUUAAAAACAUUUCUAUCUAAAAUAAUUUUUUUUCUUUAUAAGUAAUAUUUUUAAAAAACUAAUUACAAAUAGAGAAGCAAUUAUUAAGUUUAAAAAACAACACAAAUUUUUUCGAAUAAUAGAGUCAUAUUUUAUUAAAUUUUUGACAUAGAAUAUUUUAAAUAUAUAUCAUAGUAAUUCAAAUAUGACAUAUAUAAAUUUAUAUCAUAUAUAUAUAUAUAUAUAUAUAUAUUGAUAAGUUUAUACAAUUAUUAAUUUAUGAUAUCGAUUGGACCAUAUGUUUAUAUGAGAUUUUCAAAAAAAUUAUUAUCUUAUUAAUUUAUCGAUUUAAGUCAUAUUUUACACUGGUCCCAACUCGGGACCGGAAGAAUUUAUUAAUUUAGAGAGGUUUGUAUGUCUUUUCCAUAUACUUUUGGAUCAACUUUGUCGUCGAUUGCUUCCUCGUCAACUUUGUUGUCGUCUAUUGCAAGUAUUUUUAUCUUCCAAAGGCUAGAAUCUCAUAUAAGACUUAUCCAACCUAAAACAUGCCUUGAGGUUGUUCCAUGUUUGAUCGGUCAUCUUCUUCUUUCCUGAUUAAAAAACUCAAUCAAGGACACUCACAAACAAAAAUAGACGUUUGAGAAUCACAACAUGUUGCUUUGCUGAAUAUCUGUAACACCCCGUUUUCAAAAAUAUGGUGGUGCAUGCGGAGAGGUUUAAAAGAAUUGAUUUGGCUACUUAUGUCACCAAAGUGCACUUAUCUUUUCGGUCAACUGUCCUGAAAGAACUCCACAGUUAAUAGUGUUUGAGCUAAAGCAAUUUCAGGAUGGGUGAUCUUCCGGGAAGUGAUUAUCGGAACUGUGUGGGUGAGGACAAAACAUAGAAAAAGAUUAUGUGGUGAUUUGUAGGGUUGGUAACAAGUCUUUAAAGCCUCCCAGAUGUAGCGGACCGGCCAUCAGAAGAUGGUGGGCCCAUGGACCUAGAGAGAACGUGGGCCCAUGGACCUAGAGAUGACGUAGGAUCCAUUAAUAGAGAUGGCGGUCAGGGCGUUACAAUAUCACUCGUAAAUCUUUCCUCAUCAAUGUUCUUAUCUCAAAAUCUAGAUCAGUAUUAACUAAAAUUUACGAAUGCAACACUAUUUACCGAUAUUUCCUUGUUUGCUAAACUAGCAACUAUAAACUCACAUCUCGUCAGGCUUAUCCUUAUAUUUUUCACCAAUCUUCUUGAUGAAGUUUUACAAAUCCUAACAUCUCUCGUAGAUACAAGAAGAUGAAGAUGAAUAACACUAUUUGUACAUUCAAUUUAAUUCUAAACCAAAUUAUAACUCCUAUGCGUACAUCACCUAGUCGUAUUUGUUCUUACUAAAUUAGGUGUGUGAUAACUAUUGAUUGUCAGAGAAAGAAAAAUAAUAGUAAAAAUUGUUAUAGAAAUAGAAAAGUCAGGAAGUUGCAUCAAUAGGCAUUUUUUUUUUCAUUUUUUUUACAUUGGCGUAAAUAGUUUGGGAUUUUAUGAUCUCUCUGCCUCCUCUCUGUCAAACCUUUGAAGGAUUUUUUUUUCUUGUUUGUCGGAAAAACUGUCCGGCAAUUCUUGUAGCAACGACAAAAUAGAGAGGUAUGAUUCUUAUCAAUUCUUUAUUUCAAUUUGUUUUCAAUUUGAAAAUUCUUUUUCAUUUGUUUUUUUUUUUUUUUUAAUCCAUUUAGAUCCUGGGAUCAAAACCAAUCAUCUAUACUAUUUUUCGCCCCGGAGGAGGUAGUUGAAGAAACGUUCUGGAUAAAAAGGGUAAUUUUACAAAUAAAUUAUGCAUUUCUUUUCUUUAGAUAUAUUUUAGAAAAGAGUUAAAAUUUUCGAAGUCUUACGUUCAGAUGUGUUUCAGAAAUGUGUUACAAUCACCAAUUCAUGCAUAGACGUGGGAUUUGGAAGAACUAUAUAAACCUUAAAACAAAUAACAAAAUAAGUUUUUUAUUUAUUUAUAAGAAACUACAUGUUUUUCUUUCAGUAUCUUAUCUUUUGAAGUUUUCUUGUACGCAGAGAAGAGAAUAUGGCAAAGGCCCCCUCCUCAACGAAUCAGGAAGAGACACCUUCCUUGUCUUCUCCUCGACUGAGGUAUUGAUCUGUUUCCGAUACAUCUACUUUGAUCAUUCAUUUGCAUUGCUCUCUCUAAUUGAGGGCUUUUGGGAGCAGGGACCACAAUAAAACAAUGACGUCCGAGAUAGAUGAUCCGGAGAAAGCAGCGGUUACAAUCACACGUCUCAUCGAGCAGCUUCAUGCCAAGAAAUCAUCGGCGCAAGAGAAAGAGCUUAGCACCGCUCGGCUUCUUGGUUUAGCCAAGGGUAAAAAAGAAUCUAGAAAGAUCAUUAGCCAGAACGUGAACGCCAUGCCUGCCUUUAUAUCACUUCUCAGGAAUGGAACCCUCUUGGCAAAACUCAAUUCCGCUUCAGUCCUGACCGUUCUAUGCAAAGACAAAAACGUUCGUUCUAAAGUACUGAUAGGCGGAUGCAUCCCGCCGUUGUUGUCACUUUUGAAAUCUGACUCGGUGGAUGCAAGAAGAGCUGCGGCCGAGGCCAUAUAUGAAGUUUCCUUGUGUGGACUGGAUGGUGAUAGUGUAGGUACUAAAAUAUUUGUCACAGAAGGCGUGGUACCGAAUUUGUGGGAUCAGUUAAAGACGAAGAAAAAGCAGGACAAGACAGUGGAAGGACAUUUGGUUGGGGCUUUGAGAAAUCUUUGCGGUGAUAGAGACGGGUUUUGGGCAAUUACACUUGAAGAUGGUGGAGUCGAUAUCAUCUUAAAGCUUCUACAGUCUAGUAACCCGGUAUCUCAAUCAAACGCAGCUUCUCUCUUAGCCCGUCUUAUUAGGAUUUUCACUAGUAGCAUCUCAAAAAUAGUAGAGUCAGGUGCUGUGCAAGUUCUGGUUCCGCUUCUAGGUGAGGAAAACAGCGUUUUCGUACGUGCCAGUGUAGUCAAUGCUAUAGAAGCCAUCAUAUCAGCUAAAAUUGUGGCAAGAGAUUUGGAUGGGAUCCACCUUCUGAUUAGCACAGUGGUUGCUUCGUCUAAAGAGUCAGUGGAUGAGGAAACUGAACGCGUCUUACAAAGUUAUGGGACACAAGCUUUAGCAAACUUAUGCGGAGGAAUGUCUGGUUUGAUAGUGUAUCUUGGACGGCUAUCUUUGUCUCCACGCCUCACUGAGCCCAUCGCUGAUAUUCUUGGAGCUGUUGCUUAUGCUCUGAGGAAGUUUCAGCUAAGUUGUGGUGAUGCUAGAGAAACUUUUGAUCCAACACUAACAGAAGGAAUACUAGUGAAACUACUGAAGCCCCGGGAUACUCAAUUGAUCCAAGAACGUAUCUUGGAGGCUAUGGCAAGUCUAUACGGAAACGCUGAUCUAUCAAAAUUACUCAACAAUGUGGAGGCUAAGAGGGUUUUAGUUGGUCUAACAAUCUUGGCCACAGCUGGUCCACGCGAGCGGAUGAUAACUUGUUUGUCAAAUUUAUGCAAACAUGGGAAUGUUUGGGAUGCUAUUGGGAAGAGAGAAGGAAUCCAAAUCCUCAUACCGUAUCUUGGGUUGUCCAGCGAACAACAUCAAGAACUGUCUGUUGAGUUCUUAGCGAUCUUGACUGACAAGGUCGAAGAAAGUAGAUGGGCUGUUACUUCUGCAGGCGGAAUUCCUCCAUUAUUACAGAUACUAGAGACUGGUGUGUCUCAAAAAGCAAAGGAGGAUGCGGUCCGUGUAAUUUGGAACCUAUGUUGUCACAGCGAGGAAAUUCGUCUAUGUGUGGAGAAAGCAGGAGCUAUUCCCGCACUUUUAGGGCUUCUAAAGAACGGUGGACCAAAAUCCCAAGAGAGCUCAGCAAAUACGCUUUUGAAACUGAUUAAAACAGCUGAUCCAAGAGUUAUCGAGCAAGUACAGGCUUUGUUUCUUGGAGAUGCUCCUAAAUCAAAGGCUCAUUUGAUAAGAGUUCUAGGCCAUGUUCUUGCAUCGGCUUCUUUGGAGGAUUUUGUCACCAAGGGUUCUGCAGCUAAUAAUGGAUUGAGGUCUCUUGUCCAGAGACUUGCCUCUUCAAACGAGAAGAUGAAAGAGAACGCAGCUUCUGUCUUGGCUGAUCUAUUCAGUUCAAGAAAUGACCUUUGUGGCGGUCUUGGAUUUGAUGAGGAUGAUAAUCCGUGCACAAAGCUUUUAAGCGGAAACACUCACGCUGUUGCAACGCAGUUAGCGCAUGCCCUGGGCUCUCUAUCCAAUCCAACAAAGAAAAAAACUGGCCCAAAGAAGUUAUCCGGUCCAGAAGUCGAAGUGAUCAAACCAUUGAUAAAGUCAGCAAAAACAAACCCAAUCGAGUCAACAGAGAAUCCCAUGUCCACUCUUGCGAACCUUCUUUCUGACCCAAAUGUUGCAGCCGAAGCGUUAAAUGAUGAUGUUGUUUCUGCUUUGACUAGAGUACUGAGAGAAGGAACACUGCAAGGUAAGAGAAAUGCUUCACAUGCUCUUCAUCAAUUACUGAAGCAUUUCCAGGUCAGUGAUGUGUUCAAAGGAAACGACCAAUGUCGAUUUGCUGUUUCUGAACUCAUUGAUCUCUUAAACGCAACUGACCUGAACAAUAGCGCUUUCAUCGACGUCUUAGAAGUACUCUCUUUACUAGCCAAAGCUAAAUAUGGUGCUAACUUGUCCCAUAACCCCUUUUCUGCAUUCGCUGGAGUUCCUUCAAAUUUAGACUCUCUUGUCCGCGGUGUGGCUGAAGGUCAUCCAUUGGUGCAAGAUAAAGCAAUAGAGAUUUUGUCUCGCUUCUGCAAGACACAGUUUGUCUUGUUAGGUCAACUUUUGGUGACACAAUCAAAAUCAAUUUCUUCAUUGGCUAACAGAACAAUCAACUCAUCAAGUCCUGAAAUAAAAGUCGGAGGGGCUAUGCUGCUUGUGUGUGCAGCAAAGAACGAUAAGAAAUUAUGGGCGGAAGCAAUUGAACGAACAGGGUAUUUGAAAAGCUUAGUAAACACUCUUCUUGAUAUGUCAAAGCAGAACUCUAAAUGUGCUUCAUAUGGAAUUGAAAUUCAAAGACCAAGAUCUUUCAUUACAAUCAAUUUGUGCUUACGGAUGGAUGACUCCGAAAUGGUUGAUCCAGUUACUGUCUUGGGAAGCACCGUCUCAAUGUGGUUACUCUCCAUUAUUUGCUCUUCUCAUCCUACGAACAGACUUGUUGUCAUGGAAGCCAAUGGACUUGAAAUUAUUGCAGAAAAGCUUCAAAGAAACAAGUCCAACACACAGGUAGAUAAGUAUACUUACUAGCUCUCUUUAGCUUUUUUUUUUUUUUCAAAUCCUGCAUCUGAGUCAUGAUCAUUAAUUUUGCAGGAGAAUACCUCAGAUUCCGAGGAAAAAUGGAUUGCUAUGUCAUUCUUAGCUGUUAUGUCUCAGGAACCAAAUGUUGUCUCAUCUCCAGCAACAGAAAAUCUUUUGCCAACACUAGCACCUUUCAUGCAAUCUGAUCAGAUGAUUGACGGAUAUUUUACUGCACAAGUGUUGGCAGGGUUAGUUCGUCAUAAGAAUGAUAGGAUCAUUUCAGAAAUCAUGAAUUCAGAUAUCGUAGAAACUACGAUAAACUUGGUAGGGUGUGCGGAAUCAGACACAGGGAGUUUUUGUGCCUUAGCAGAAGAGCUAUCUCUGGUACAAAAUCCUUUUGAGGCCACUUUAGCGGUACUCUUCGAAGAUGAAAGAGUAAGACGUGGUUCAUUUACCAAAAAAUGUAUUCCGUUGCUGGUGAAUCUUUUGAAGCCAUAUGCAGAUAAAGCUGGAGCCAUUCCAGUGGCUGUUCGGCUUCUUAGUCGUAUUGCAGAGUGUGGUGAUUCAAGUAAAUUACAUAUUGCUGAUGCUGGAGCUCUGGAUACUUUAGCGAAGUACCUUUCUUUGAGUCCUCAAGAUUCGACUGAGAUCAUUGUUUCUGAACUGUUAGAAUCACUCUUCCGCAGCCCAGAAAUCACACGGCACAAAACAGCUAUAAGUUCCAUGAAGCAGCUCAUAGGAAUUCUUAAUCUUGCUUCUCGAAGUACCCGCUACAAUGCUGCAAGGGUGCUCUGUGAACUUUUUAGCUCAGAGCACAUCAGAGAUUCCGAAUUAGCAUGGAAAGCACUUUCCCCUCUUAUUGAAAUGUUGAAUACAACAUUGGAGAGUGAGAGAGUGGCUGCUCUAACAGCUUUAGUGAAGCUAACUAUGGGAACAAGUCCAAGGUCAGAUAUUCUUACUAGUCUUGAAGGAAACCCAUUGGACAACAUUUACAAAAUUUUAUUUUCAGAUAGUUCCUCACUUGAAUUAAAGACAAGUGCUGCGAGGAUAUGUCGCUUUCUAUUCACCAGCGAAUGUUUGAGAACAAGCUCGUCCGCCGCAGGUUGCAUGGUUCCCCUUAUAUCUCUUGUCCGGUCAGGAACAAGCACAGGUAUAGAAGCCGGAAUGUUUGCACUUGACAGACUCUUGGAUAUCAAAAGAUUCUCAGAGGUCGCCGAAGAAUAUGAUUGUGUGAAUCUGUUCUUCGGCUUUGUGGCUUCCGAAAACUAUCUAAUCAGUGAGGCUGCAAUUUAUUGUCUUAUGAAAAUGGCUAAAGACAACACUCCCCGUAAAAUGGAUCUGAUUAAAAUGGGGAUAAUCGAGAAAUGCCUUGGUCAACUCUCCAGAUCUCCUCCAAGUUCUUUGUGUUCUGUAAUCGCAGAGUUUUUCAGAGUUUUGACGAACGUUGGUGUUGUAGCUAGAAGCCAAGAGGCUAUAAAAAUGGUACAACCGCUUCUCUUAAUUUUGCUUAGACAAGACUUGGAUUUUCAAGGCCAACUCGGUGGUUUACAAGCUAUAGCAAACAUCUUGGAGAAGCCAAUGGUUCUUGAAUCAUUAAAAAUUGCAUCAUCCGCAAUUAUUAUGCCUUUGAUACCACUGCUUGAAUCUGAAUCUAUAGCGGUCCAAAAUGCAACCACAGAACUACUGACCUCUCUACUCGAAAUGCAACGUUUCCAAGAAGAGAUAACGACCAAAAAUCUCAUCCCUCCUCUUGUGAAACUUGUCGGGAUCAGGGUAAGAAACUUACAAGAGAUAGCAGUGAUGGGUUUAGAGAAAUCCUCAGUUACAUGGACAAAGGAGGUAGCAGAUGCCGGAGGAAUUCAAGAGCUGUCCAAGGUUAUUAUCGACGAAGAUCCUCUGCUUCCUGUAUAUCUAUGGGAAUCAGCAGCUUUCAUUCUCUGCAACAUUCUCAGAUUCAACCCAGAACACUAUUACUUUUCAGUGACUAUACCAGUUUUAUCAAAAAUGUUGUUCUCAACAGCUGAGAGCACAGUGAUCUUAGCCAUCGACACAUUGAUCAUCUGUGCAAAUCAAGAAUCCUCAAGUGUUCAAGAGAUGGCAGAAGCCGGUGCACUCGACGCAUUACUAGAUCUACUAAGAUCCCACCAUUGCGAAGAACUCUCCGCAAGAUUACUCGAAUUAAUACUACGCAAUCCAAAAGUUAGAGAGACAAAGAUAUGCCAGUUUGUACUAACCCCUUUAUCUGAGUACAUACUUGACCCAGACACAGUAUCAGAAUCCGCAAAAAUUCUCAUAGCAAUGGCUCUAGGUGACAUCUCUCAACACGAAGGACUCGCUAAAGCCACAGACUCGCCCGUGGCAUGUCGUGCGUUAAUCAGCUUGCUCGAGGAGGAACCGAGCGAGGAAAUGCAAAUGGUUGUGAUGCGUGCUUUGGGAAACUUCGCAAUGCAUAGUAGAACAAGUCGUAAAGCUAUGGCUGAAGCUGGUGGAGUAUAUUGGGUUCAAGAAAUGCUUAAAUCUUGUAAUCCACAAGUUUCUACACAAGCAGCUCUAAUUAUCAAAUCUCUCUUCUCUAAUCAUACACUUCAAGAAUACGUCUCCGGCGAAAUCAUCAAAUCUCUAACAAGUAAGUUCCGAUUCCGAAUUCAAAAUUUAUGAUCGGAGAAAUCAAACACUCACCGAUUUUAAUGCAGAUGCGAUGGAGAGAGAGUUUUGGACAACGGCGGCGAUGAACGUGGAAAUAGUAAGAACGCUAAACGCGAUUCUCACAACGUUUCCCAAACUCCGUUCGUCGGAAGCGGCUACCGCUUGUAUCCCUCACUUAAUCGGAGCUCUGAAAUCCGGCGAGCAAGAAGCGAGAGAUUCGGCGAUGGAUACGAUAUACACGUUACGACAGUCGUGGAUAACUAUGCCGACGGAGACGGCGAGAUCUCAAGCAGUUUUAGCGGCGGAGGCGAUUCCGGUUUUGCAAUUGAUGAUGAAAUCGAAAUCGAAAUCUCCAGCUCCGUCGAGCUUCCAUGAGAGAGGUAACAGUCUCUUGAAUUGUUUGCCGGGAAGUCUCACGGUGGCGAUUAAACGCGGUGAUAAUCUGAAACGGUCUAACGCGUUUUGCAGAUUAAUCAUCGAUAAUUGUCCCACAAAGAAAACCAAGGUAAUGUAAUUUCGGUUUAAUCCGGUUCUAAGCAAUUCGGUGCAAAUUAAUCCGAUUUUAACCGGUAUUAGUUCAAUUCAAUACGGUGCAAUUCAGUUUUCGAUUAUAAGUUGAUUAAACCGGUUUUGGUUCAGGUUGUGAAACGAAGCAGCUCACCGGUUUGGAAAGAAUCAUUUACAUGGGACUUUGCUAGUCCUCCAAGAGGACAGUUUCUUGAAAUCGUCUGCAAAUCUAACAACAUCUUUCGAAACGUACGUAGAUUUAUCGUUGUUUUAUUAUUCGAAUCUUUCGCAGAAUCGGUAACUUUGUUAAAUUUUGCAGAAAAAUCUUGGUAAAGUGAGGAUACCAAUUGACAAAGUAUUGACAGAAGGAAGUUACAGUGGAAUUUUCAAGCUAAAUGAUGAAAGCAAGAAAGAUGACUCGUCUGAUAGAAGUCUAGAAAUUGAGAUUGUUUGGUCUAAUCAGUCAUUUUAAUUAAUCCAUAAAGCGCUAAUGAUCAUCUUUCUUACUGUAAAAAAUGUUUUAUUAUAUGGUCUUAAAUUGUUUAUAUGUAAAUUCUAAACUUUAAAGAGUUAUUAUAGUUGUGAUGGUGUCAUGUUUUGGGAAGCUUAUUGCAAUUUGAAGAAACCCAUCCGAGUUGUUGUUUCUCGUUGUCGUAGAUCACCAUUAGCCCUUGCAUAGAGAUAUCUUUAAAAGAAAACAGACGAAAGAAACAAAAUUAGUUUAAGACAAUAACAUUAUUGUUAAAGUGUUGAUGUUGUUUGUUUGUUCGUCUUACCUCCGAUUACGUUGGAGUUUUGUAAUCCUACUUCACUUCCAUUUAGUAGUCCCAAGCAGGCAUUACCAGUUUUCUGAAGAAAAGAAUAAGAAUUCAUGAUUGAGUAUUUUGAAUGUGAUGAUGAGAGUUUUUUUUGGUUCUACUGACAUUUUCUUACAGAGAUGAUGAGAUAAGAUUCGGGUGGAAUCUGGAGCUGAGUGAUUCUUCUGGCAUUGGUAAAGUUAAUUGUUAUGGUCUUGAAGAAGUUCUUAAACUCAAGAACAGAUUUGAAGAAAGUAUAAUCUCUCUGAAGCCGAUCGCGGCAAAUAUGAAAGAAGAAAGUAUACUCUGGUGAUAAUAAUGGUGUCCAGGCCACACCAAGGGUAGGAAUGAGAGUGUCUCCAAAGAACAAAUAGCCUCCACCUUUAGAACUUAGGCAAUGUCCAACCACAUUUCUCGUUAGUCCCGCGGCUACAAGCUGUGGCAAGACACCAAUUUUCCCUCUCCCAAGCCCCAAAACUCCAGCAGUCGCGGGCGGAGGAUGUGCUUUAGGUAAAAUCUGAUCAUAACCACACCUGAAAACACAAGUUUCCUUAAGAAUUAACAUUUUCAUCAUCUCAGGAUUCACAUGUCUGUUUUAUAGCUCACCCGAAUGCUAAACGAGGUUGCAUGGCCGAGCCAUUUAGGAGUUUUAAAGGAAACUGAUCAAUAACAAGUGCACCCAUUGAUGAACCUUGAUCAGCAUAAUUAACUUCAUAGUCACAUUGUUCUUUCGGGUUUGGACAUUGAGGCUUGUUAGGAAAGUGAAGUGCUAAACAAAUCGGGUCUAAGCACGGGACAGUGUUUCCUUUAGGCUUGUACUGACGUAUAGGAGGCUACAAAAACAACAAAACAGUGAUCAUAAGAAGCAGAGAAUCCAAUCAAGUUUCAUUUCGAAAACAGAGAGAAUAUACAUACCAAAGUACAACCAGUGCAAGGAGCAUCGCAUUGAACCCAAGUGAGAUCACUACCAGUAUCAAUAUCAAAUUCAAAUGCCUUUGGAGGGGUUCCUAUUUGAAGUAAGACAGAGUAGUAUCUACAAAGACAGAACAAAAACAGAGUAAAAAUAUCGAAACAUUGUUUUUUGUUUUGUUAACAAGAUAGAGAAAACAUUGAUGUUCCUACCCGAGAGGGAAGACGUUGCCGGAGAGAGGGAGGACGACUGAGGAAAGAGGAGAUUUGGGAGAGAGAUUACUGGGGAAGGUUUUGAAGACGGAAGAUUUUGAUUGAGAAACUAUGACCAAGAACAAGAACAGAAGAAGAGAGAAUCUUGAAUUCAUCUUGAUCUUUGUUACUUGCACAACAAACAAUAAAAGAAUCCACAAACAGAUGAAGAUGAGAUCUGAUUAUAAGAGAUAUGGUCAAUAUAUACGAAUGUUGUAAACGUCAAUGGUCAUGAUGAUCUAAGUCAUAUUUAAUAUAUUUCCUUAACAAGAAAACAAAAUACAGUAAGACAUUAAUUCUUUUUUGAGAAAUUAGGCUGUAUGACCAUAAAUUUUUUUUAAUAAUUCAAUAACUAACCUAAAAAAAAGUUGACUACAAUAUAUUCUGUGUAUAACAUGUAAUAUAUACUAUCUUUUGUUCACAUGUCAUAUAUUUUUCUAUCUAUUUUUAUUUUUUUCUUUCUUGAUAUCACUACAUCCCAUAGUUACUUAGGUCAUCUCCAAGGCAACGGUAAAACUGCAUUUUAAAGUGAUGCAGUCCACUUUUUCACUCCAACCCAACUGUAAAUAUUACACUAUAAUAGUGUGAUUCCUUUAUUUUGUACAGUACUCCACUAUAUUUGGUGUGUUACUGUAGCAACGGUAAAAAUAAAAUAUUAAUUUUUUACAUUAACAUUAUUAUUUAGUUAUAGUAUACUAAAUAUGAUUUGUCUUGUAAUUGAAUAAUCUUACUAAAUUUUGUAAGUAAAAAAACAAUGUAUCAAAACCAUAUAUUUUUUAUUUUUAUUUUUGAUAAUAUGCAAUAUAAAUCAGUAGAAAAUAUUAAAACAACAACAAAAAAUUGAUUGAAAAAUACAUAAUAAAAUUCAAUUAACCAUGGAAAACAUAAACUUAUAAAAUUAAAAGCUAUUUUUGAUAUUUCGAUUGUAAUUUUAUAUUAAUUAAUAAAUUAAAAAUAUUACAAAUAAAAGACAUCUUUAGUUUAAUAAUAUAAUAAUAGAACAUGUUAUUUUUAGUGUGAUAUUUAGAGCAGGUUUAUCGGUGAUAUCUUAGAGAUAUCUUAGGGGAAAAAAUUAUUAAAUUUAAUGAAUUGAUCAAACAAAUGCUAAGAUGUAUAUCUUAUUUAAGAUGUUUUUGAUGAGUUUAGAUAUGAGCACGUGUCCUGCUCUGAUUAGUUUGAAGAAAGAACAAAACCAAAAAAAAAACUCCUCGUUUUUUUAUUUCUCUCUCGACUUCUCUCUCUUUUCCUCGAAACCAAAACGGCGAUAUCCUAUGAGGCUGUUGAUCUGACGAAUUGAGAGGAGAAAUGAGAUGGAAUUGCGUGUUUCAUCUCACGUAAUCAGAGCUUUUCGGUGGCGUCUCUCUAUCCCUGCAAUUCUCGAAGCUUCCGCCGGAGAAAUCGAGCCGACUCGUCUUCAUCCGUCGAACUGAGAGGAGAAAUGAGUGGGGAUUGCGUUUUUGAUCCGUCGGUAUCAUGAUCUACAUGAGAAAGGGUACGAAUCUCUCUAAUUUCUCUCUGAUUUCAUUAGUACAUCGUAAAUUAGGGUUUUCACAAUUGGGAGAGAAAUUGGUAGCAAAAUUAGUAUUCUAUGAUGUUAGGGUUCUUUAACUGAUUGUGAUUUGCUUUUCUGUCCAGCCACCUGGAAAAAGAAAUGCCUUUGUGCUUCAUAAAUUUAAGAAAUUGGUUAGAAAAGGUUCAGAUAAAAACAUAUUUUAAUACUAUGACCAUAUAUCGUUUUAGUUGUAAUAUUAUGUCAUUGCCUAAUUGAAAUUUUUACUUUGAAGGAUAAUUUCAACUCACUGGUCAACGUAGCAACAUAAGUUGAAGUGGAAACCAUAUCGUCAGUUAUGAACGAGGGUCUCUAAGAUUUUGCUUUCUUCUCUCCUUUGAUACAUGUAAGUACUUUGCAUUGUUUGGUAUAUUCUCUUGCAUCGUUUAUUUCUGUGCGGGUAUAAGCUUUGUUUAGUGCAGCAUACCUCAAUUAUGGCUAUAUCAUUGAACUUCUGAUUUUACAUGAUUUAGAUUUGUGUUUUUCCAAGUGUUUAUUUGGUGAUCUCUGCUCAAGUAGAAUACCUAAUCUAUCGCACAAAUAACAUGAGCCAAUGCUAAUAGUCUUUUUUUCAUAAGUUAAGUCUCAGUUUUCUAACGAAUGAAUCAAUGUUUGAAUGAACUUGUGUUUGUUUAAUUUUGGCAAAACAUAAUCAGUUGAUUGGUUUGGUCUGUUUGAAUGAGUUUUGCUUGAAAUAGAUAAAUGUCUCUGUUUUUGAUAAGUGUUCUCUGUUUUCAUUGCUUUGAUCCUUUCUACUCUUUUUGAUGAGGUUUAUUGGAGAAUUUGCCAUGAACAAAGUGAUGAGCUUACUGCAGCCAGAGUUGAAGUGCAGGAGAAACAAGUGGAGUUGCAGAGAAAUGUGAUAACAUGAAGCUUUUGGAAGAGAAAUGUGUGUAACUUGUAUUGUAAGUUAGUGUUUUGCAACAAUUUGAAUUUUUUAUCCUUAAGAACUCUUUGCUUCUUAACCAAUGGAGUAAAAAUUUGUUAAGAUAUUGUAUAACUUUUCUUAACUUACAAAUAGUGAAAUUUUUAUUUAAAAUAAGGUUAAGAUCCAAGUUUAAGAUCCUAACCGAUAAUCCUGCUCUUAGUGUUAUGGUUGGAGAAGGAAAAUAUUUUAGUGUCAAAUCUACACCAAAUAUAGUGUUAUUUGAGCACCAAAAUAGUGUUAUGGUUGGAGAUGCCCUUACUAUAUUUUCUUAUUUAGUAUUCCCUCUGUUUCGUUUUAGUUGUCGUUUAAUGUUUUUUCACACAAAUUAAGAAAAGCAUUAAAUUUUCUGUUUUACCCUUUAUUAAUAUCUAUUAUAAAUUUUUUCAUUGGCCAAAACAUUAAAACAAUAGAUAUAAUACUGGAAUUUUUACCAAAUAUUUGCAUUGAAAACCUAAAACGACAACUAUUACGAAACAAAAUUUAAGUCCUAAAACGACAACUAAAACGAAACGGAGGAGUAUGUUAUAUUCUUAAUUAUUUUUACAAAUAUGUAUAUUGAGCAAAAUCGUCAUUCUUUUUUUUUUAAGAGAAAAAUAUUAAUUAUAGAAUUAAGUGUACACUACAUGAUUUAUAUAUAUAGUUUCCCAAUAUAUCAUUAUUUUGCUUGUUUGGGAUGAAUAAAUAUAAAUAAUCUGGUGUAUUUUGAUUUCCCAAAAUUAAGAUGACUUUCCAAGCAAGAAGAAAAUUAAAUUAUGGGCAUAGGAAGAAGAAGCUUCGUAGAAAAAUAUUGGAGGACUUCCAACGCGGUUUCGACACGGUUAAGGGUUGUACUCUGGGGUUUUUGGUGAUUUUGACACUUGUAUAUUUAAAUAAAUUAAAUAAUGAACAAUUCAGAGCAGUUGUAUAUACUUAUAUUACAUGAGAAUUUAUCAUUCUUGGGCAAAUUAUCAUUAAACUACAAAAAUUUGUCACUUUUUUUUGGAACAAAUUUUUUAGUUACAAAGGAAAAAUAAGGUUUUAAUAUCAAGUUUCAUGACAUAACAUACAUUAAAAGGAAUUUGAGUCAAAUCAUGAUAGGGUAUAUGCAAGGAGACUUAAAUUCGGUAAAAUUGUUGCGAACUAUUUUAACAGAUUUCUCGACCACCAUUAGUAUUCUUCCCGGCUUGAGACCUCGGAAUUCUCUAGCACAUUUUUGGGUUUACGAAUGCGAGGGUGUCAUCUUUUGACUGCCAAAAGCCAUUUCAUGGCACAACAAUGAUGAUAAACAAAAAAAAAAGACACUUGAAAAUUUCAGAGAUGAAAAAAAAACACGUGAUUUUACUACAUGUCCCAUUUGAAAACUCUUAUCUUAGCCAUUCAAUAUUAGUAAUCCACUAUAUCACAGAGUAACUGGUUUCAAACUUCAAGAUCUCACUUUUGAAGACAGUCUCAAUAUUAGAUUCUCCCUCUGUUCAUGAAAGACUGAUGUUGUUUACCAAAAAAAAAAAAUUUUGAUAUUCUAAAGUUUUCACAUAUAUUAAAAAGCCAUCAUUGCUUUAUUAUUUGUCAAUUGUUUUUUUAAAUUAAACAUUUUUAAUAACUUUGAAACAAUAAUAAUAAUAUGAAAUAGUUAAUCAUUGAGUUUUGAAAUUAAUCACGAUAAAAAAAAAAAAAAAACUUAACAACUUUGGUUGACUUUUAUAUAUUUUUUUUAUCAACGACUUUUAUAAUUAAACCGGACUCAAAACCAAUUGUUAACCAAUAAUAAUUGAACUUAGCCAGACAAAUUGAUUCUAAAUCUGAACCACACCUUAACCAACUGUUUUACCUCAAGUUCAAUCGUUAUUUGUCACACUUUGGUCAACAACCCCCUUUAAAUGAUACCUAAUGAAUAAAUGAAACCAAGUACUCCCUUUGUUUCAUUUUAUUUGUAGUUUAAAAGUUUUUCAUAUAAAUUAAGAAAGUACAAAAAUCUCAUUUAAUUUAUCUCUUUUUUAUAAAAACAUCAUUAACUACAAGUAAUUCAACCAAUAAAAAAAUAUGCAGUAAAAUAUAAUUGGUCAAAAACUAUUAAAUCCAUUAAACUUUUGCAUAGAAAAAUAAAAACAACACUUAUUUUACAAGAAAAACAAAUCCCUUAAAUUACAAAUGUAUUGAAACAGAGGGGGUAUAUUUUUUAAUCCCAAGAAAAAAAAAAACGUGGAAACUAAAAAUUAAGUAAAUGCAAAAGAUCAUCGAAAGCUUAAUCUAAAUUAAUCAUCAACCUAUGAUUUAAAUAGUUAUAAUUUUAUAUUUUAGCUAUUAGCAAGAUCUUCUUGAACGCGUAAAUCCUAUCAAGCCAGCACCAAAAUAAUAUUUCCAUAAAAAUGACUUGACAGUUUUAUUCAAUGAAUAGAAAUGGAAUAUUUAAAUUAAUCUUCCAUAUUAAUUAAGCAAACCGAUCUUAAUUUUCCAUUUAAAGAAUUAUAUCUACAUUUUCAAAAAGGUCAACUCCUAAUAUUUUGGACAUUAGUAAUAUUAUGUCAUACGUGAAUAUAUACUAGGAUAUAUUAUGACGACAGCGACAAGUUAUAUGAUUGAGAUGAAAUAAAUGUCCCCAAAAAAUUAAAAACGAAUCAACUUCUAAUAAUUAGAUGAGAGCGUUUCUUAUCUUGAUUCUUAGAUCUGUGCUCCGAUCCUAUCUGUUUCCGUCAAUGGCAAAAGAUUUGGUCUAAAAAAGGAAGUUACGAAACAGAAAACGUUUCAAUUCUCAUUCAUCUCCCAAAAACGUAUCUCUCUCUCUCUCUCUCUCUCUCUCUCUCUCUCUCUCUUUCUCUUUCUCUAUCUCCGCCGUGAAUGGCAACACAAGGGAUGGCUCAGCCGUCGGCGAAGAAAAGAAGCUUCCUCCUCCGUGAUAUCUUCAAACUUUGCCGAUCAAUCUCAAGGGUUUUUCCUCGUGACAAACCUAAACAUCAUCAUAAGGCUAAACACGAAACCAAACGUUUUGAUGAAGAACCUAAACGGAAUAAACCAAACGCCUUCGAUUUUCGGGUUAGUUUUCGAUGUUGUCAAUAAUUUGUUUUGAAUGAUUUUUGUUGAAUUUGGUAAAUAUUUUUUUCUAGGAAACAAAAGGGACGGGUAAUAAUAAUGUGGAAGGUGUCAGUCUUUGUAAGGUUCGUAGUUAUAGAUUUGACAACACCAAUACCAAUUUCGUGGGGAGCAAGAAAUCUCUUUCAAGAAGUUGUAGCCAGAACACAGCCACAGCCACCGGGGCCACGACGAAUCCGACAUUCCGGAGUUUAUCGUUUAUAGGGAGGAGCAAAAGCAGCAGCAAUAGGAUGACGGAAUCCGGUGGAUUUAUGCCGACACUUAUGAGAUCGACAACCACGGUUCCAAGAAGCUUUGCCAACCCGAUUUUGUAUUCGAGUUCAUCGGCCAAAGUGGCUAAACCGUCUCCAACAGAGAAGAAACUACGCUGUACGCUCGAGGAGCUAUGUAACGGAUGUACCAAGAAGAUCAAGAUCACAAGAGAUGUUAUUACUAGCUCAGGGUUUGUUUUCUUUCUUUACAAAAUACCUACCUUGGCAACGGAGUUUCGCGAAAAGAAGACUAACUAACCGAGUUUUUGUGGUUUAUAGGCAAAUGUGCGAGGAGGAAGAGACGGUGGAAAUAAAAGUGAAACCGGGAUGGAAAGGAGGGACGAAAGUAACAUUUGAAGGCAAAGGAAACGAAGCAAUGGGGAGUGUACCGGCUGAUUUGACAUUCGUGAUUGUUGAGAAAGAGCAUGAGGUGUUCAAAAGAGAAGGAGAUGACCUCGAAAUGGCGGUGGAAGUCUCUCUACUCGAAGCUUUAACGGGAUGCGAGCUCUCUGUUGCUUUACUUGAUGGUGACAAUAUGAGUUUGAGGAUAGAAGAUGUUAUUCACCCUGGAUAUGUUACAGUGGUUCAAGGCAAAGGAAUGCCAAAUCUAAAGGAGAAAGGGAAGAGAGGAGAUUUGAGAGUUCGGUUUCGGACUAAGUUCCCGCAACAUCUUACAGAUGAACAAAGGGCAGAGAUUCAUAGCAUUCUUCAAGUCUCUUCUUGAUUUGUUUGCUUAAGACUUUCUUUCCCUUUAUAGGGGAGCUUUUACAACAUGGUUUAGAUAAAAAUCCAAAGAGAUUUUUACUCUGUAUCAUCUUUGUUUGUAAACAACCAAGUUGAAAUGAAGAAACCGGUUUCCAUAAUCAACCGAAAACUUUUAUUUAUCGACUCCAAUAUUCAUCCCCACAAAACCAAAACAUAUAUAUUUGAAAACCAAUAGGUUCAUAUUUGAAAAACCAAGAAAAUAAGAUACAGGAGGAAAUGUCCCCGGCCUUUUACCGUUUAAGAUAAACCGAGAAGAGCUUUGAAUAUAUCGAAUAUAUUGCUAUCGACAAGGGCUUUUAACAAUCUAAGCUUUCCUCUCGAGUAAGGCGGAUACCUGACUGCUGAAUCACCGAAAAGGCUUCUGUAGAGAACAGCCUUCUUGUGACUAAAAGCAUCAAAUGAGAAUUUACCAUGGUAAGCACCCAUUCCACUUUCGCCAACUCCUCCGAAUGGCAAUGUGUGAAGUGCAAGCUGCAAAAUAAUAGAGCUUUAGUAUAAAAUGCUAUUUUUGGUAUGUAUUUAGCUUGUAUUGAUCAGAUAAGUCUAGUGUUUUCUUUACAUGAACAGCUAUGUCGUUCACCACUAUGCCUCCAGCGGAGACUGUCGUUGCAAAUCUCUCUUUCAGCUUCUUGUUAUGAGUAAACAAGUAUGCAGCAAGUGGCUUAGGUCGAGAGCGAAUCAUAUCAAAACUCUCUUCCAAGUUGUUGAGCUGUGAAGAACAAAAAUAGAUCAUCAAAUUUGCCUUCAAGAGAUGAAGUAGAGCUUAUAUAGAAUGGAAAAUUGUUCCUACCGUGAGAAUUGGAAGGAGAGGGCCAAAUAUUUUCUUCACUCAUGAUCAGAGAAUCUAAUGGUACGUCGAGCAAGAUUGUUGGAGCAAUUUUCCUGAAAAAUGGAGACAAAGGAUUAGCAUAAGUGAAAAAGGUGAUGAUGAUAAUAUAAAGAGAAGAAACUCACAGAUUUUCUCUGUCCUUUUCACCACCGUAGACGAUUUUGUCAGAAACUUCCUUCUCAUCUAACAGCUUAGACAAGCGAUCAAAGUGAGUCGAGUUUACGAUACGUGACAUAUCUUUCGACUCCAUAGGGUUCUUCCCAUAAAACGUCUCCAAUUCUUUCUUCAUGGCAUCAAUCUUCAAAAGAGAAAAGAGAAGUUUAUAUACAAAAAUGCAUCAAGAUUCUGAUCUUAAGUUCUUAACCUUACCACUUUUGGAGCAUAUUCUUUUGUCGUCAAGAUAUAGUCUGGCGAAAUGCACGCCUGUCCGUUGUUGCAACCCCAUUUGCCUGCGAUUAUCCGCCUCACAGUAACCUUCAAAAGACAAAAGGAGCAAAUUACAUCAACCACAGUACAAACAAAACACAUUGGAUGACUCUGGAUGAAGUAUUCACUAUUCAGUACUUUCAAAUCGGUAUCCGAGUCUACAACAACAGGCGAUUUUCCUCCAAGCUCCAGAACAACCGGUGUAAGACGCUUCGCAGCUGCCGCCAUUAUGACACGCCCAAUUUUUGAACUACCUAACCAAAAAAAUAGCAGGAAAUAUCACAUGUUAAUCCUCAUGUAUAAAACAUUUGAAAGGAAACACAUAAAGUCAAGUUAAUAAGAACCUGUGUAGAAUAUCUUGUCCCACUUCUGCUCCAGCAGAGCAGUUGUUUCAGUAACAGCUCCUUCGACAACUCGCACCACAGAAGAAUCAAGAUACUGUUCCAGUAACUUCGCAAGCAGAGCAGACGAAGCUGGAGCCAAUUCCGAUGGCUUCAAGACAACAGCAUUCCCAGCAGAAAUUGCACCAAUAACAUGAUCAAUAGACAACACUUGCAAAGAAACAAAAAAAAGUGUCACACUUCAUACACAAUGUAUCAUAACAUAAAGUGAAAAUUCAAUCAAUUAGGAACAUACGGAAGGGAUAGUUCCAAGCCGAGAUAACUAACACAACACCAAGAGGCUCAGACACAAUCUCGGCCGAUGCAGGAAACGUUGUUAGAGAAGUUUUGGCCUGAACCGAAAAACAGAACAACGAUUAGCAACUUAACAUAUAUAACAACAACAAACUCUUUUCAAAGCACACACCUUCUCCGGCGCCAUCCAGUUCUUUAGCUGCUUAAGAGCUAACUUGAUAGAGUUUCUCAGUAAAGAUACCUACAUAAUUAAUCAACCAUCAUAAUCAAAAUUAAACUAAUCUAAUACUAAUGAUUAAAGACAAAACCACUUAAAACAAGCCAAAGAAAUGGUUAGGAACAAAAACUAAGCAAACUUUACUCUUUAGUAAGCAAACUGUAAAAUUUAAUGUUAUAUGGUAGUUUAACAGUAGCAGAAGAAAAUUAAAUGAGGAUUUGCUUUCAAUAUAGGACCAAUAUUUUUAUAGUAUUGGUUCCUACAUAACAUAAAAUUACCUGCAUUCUAAGUUGAUAGAUACUACUCUUAACUUAUCAAAAAAGUUACAUUGAAGUUGUGUUGUACACGUGUCGACACAUAACAUCAUCGACGUUGCAACUAUGGUCAUAGACAAUAAUGAGACCGACCAAGUAGGGGGAUAUGUUAAUCCAAUUAUAGAGGUUUGGCUAAUGCGUUUAAGAGUCACUAAUUAAAGAAAUAUCACUAAGCAAAUUACGUCAGCCGCAAAUAUUACUUGCGAAAUCUGAUUCUGACUCAUAACCAUACCAAUAAUUGGGGUUUUAAUCAUAGAUUUAACAUCAAAUAUCCGGAUUUCGCUAAAACUCCUACUAAUCACAGAAGUGAUCAUGUUUUUAGUAAAUAAUGUUCCGCACACCCAUCACAUAUAGAACAUUCUAGCUAAAUAUUUUUUGGGGGUUAUCUAACUAACUAUAGAAGUCUCUGUGAAAGCAAUAAUUUAGUAAAAGUUUUCCAAAGUCCAACGAAUCACCAUUAACAAAACACCUGAACCGCUUAACGUUCAGAAAUUUCCGACCAACUUUUCUUGAUUACUUUUGUUGGUCAGAAAUUUCUUAUAAAACUCUUAUUCCAACGAAUUUCCAACUAAUCCAGUCGUCAAAAUAUCUUAUGUUUUUUCGUAGUUAACUACGAACUACAUCUACCUAACAACAAGUCUUAUCCCAUGGUUAACAUAUCUAAAGGGUUUCCCACAAACUUACUACGAAUAACCAAAUAACUAACCCUCACGCAAAAUUUCACACCCUAAAAUCGAACUUAUUUAGGACUAUUUUUCAUCUAAUACCACAAUGCCACCUUACAGAUUAAACCAUAACAAUAAAUUGAAUCUUCAAUCAAAAUUCAAAGAUUCAAACUAAAAAUUGACCAAUCACGAUCAAUUCUCUAAAAACUCGAAAAAACACAAUCUGAGGAAAGCGAGAGAUAAAGAGAAAAAGAAUCCUAACCUCAUAAACAGAAGAUUCAAGCUCAGGCUUCCCAAGAUCAUCGCGAAGAGCCGCGACGAUCUCAAGCUCAUAAUUAUCACAAAUAAUCAAAAGUUUCUUAAGCUGAGUCACUCUUCAUUAAUAACCACGAGUCACACCAUCAUCAAAACUCCGACUAAGACCCGUCACCAAAAUACUCGCAUCCGCCGCUCCAAACAUCUUCUUCGCCGCCAUUCCUCAAAACCUCUCUUUAGUGUUUUAAAAACGUACACAAAAAUAAAAAAAUUAUUAACACAGCAAUCACGGGAAAGAGAGAGAAGAGAGAAGAGAAAAAAUAUUGAGUUCGGAUCCCGAGAAAAACUGAUAUUGAUUUUGUUGAAUCAAGAAAAUAAAUAUUCUUUUCAUAGAGAUAUUGACGUUGCUCGUGCCAAAUAAGAAGUAAUAAUUUUUUUAAAAAAAGAAAAAAAAAGUGAUAAGUCUCUCACUUUUUUCCUCCAAAUUGAUAAUAAGAAAAAUCAUGCAUUACAAUAUUUAUAGAGAUGAAGAGACGUCAGAAAAGAGAAAAACAAAAGAAGAAUACCAAGAAAGCAAAUAAUUUAAUAACGACAAAGUAAGGAUAAAAUAUAUUUUUUUUCUAGAAAUUAUGAUUUAAAUAAUUUAUUAGAUAUUUAUGAGACGUAAAGACGUGAAAAAAAUCUAUACUAGUAUUUUUGCAACACUUUGGUGACGAGUGGGUAAAAAUGCUUCUGGGUUAAUCGGAUAUUCGACCCAUUUUUAAAAAUCCUUCACAAAAAAUUUGUUGGGUCGGGUUAUAUUUAACUCAACUCAUAUACCGGAUAUUCUAUAUUUAAUAAUUUAGAUAUUUAAAAGAUUUGUUUAAGAUUUAGAAUUAUGAUUCUCCUAUCAUCUUUGUUUAAUUUGUUUUUAACUGUUUUGAAUCAUCAUAUAAUACAUAAAGUAAAAAAAAAAAAUCAAUUUUUUUUCUACAUAUACUGUGAUUCGAAAUUUUAAAAAUGGACAUAUAUUAUCUAAUUGACGAAAAUGUGUGUUCAACGUUCUACAUCGAUUAAAAUAGACAAUUAUUCAGAAUCAUAACAUAAAUAAGAUCAACAUUAAUAAAAUAAAUGAGUCUUUUUGGCCGAACGGGUUUGGCGGGAUGAGUUUUUGAAUCAACAAUAAUAAAAAGAUUAAAAUAUCUUUAAUCCGCGCUUCAAUACGGAUUAAAUCCUUAUUUUUUUUAAUACCACCAAUAUUAGACAUAUUAAAUCAGUCUCAUUGAGAAAAGAUUGUAUAAAACCAAAAAUUGCCCGGUGGUAUAAUGUUACUUAAUAACAGUAUUUAUAAAAUUUUAAAUAUCAUUAACAUGCCGCUUUAAUACAUAUUAAAUCUUCAGUUUAUUAAAAUAUAAAUGUUUUCGAGAAUGGUAUGAUUUGUAAACUUUUAUAUAUAAUAAAUAAUCAUUAAAUUUUAAAAUAAAAACAAAUCACGGGACGGGUUAAAAAAUUACGGAACGAGUUAUAUUUCGGAAAGGAUUUAUAUGGCGAACGAAUUUGAAUCAAUAUUUAUAUACCGCUUUAAUACGGGUUAAAUUCUCAGUUUAUUAAUAAUUGUCUCUUGGACUCGUGGUAUACCGUUAUUUAAUAACAAUUGUAAACUAUAAUAUAUAUAAAUAUGUUAUAAGGAGAUACAAUUUACAAAAUAUUUUUAUACUAACUUUAAAAUUAAAUCAUCUCGCUGUGUACUGCGGGUUAAAAUCUAGUAAUCUAAUAACGAUAAUAAUAUAUUUUUUCAUAAUUUAAUAAGGACAAAAUAAGAAUAAAAUAUUAUUUUAAAAAGGUAAGGAAGAUAAUGAUUAUAAGUGAUGUAAGAGAAGAGAGGCGUGUGGGUAUUACUCGCGGAACAUAAGCGAACUCACAACUCACGUGUGAGUGCGUGUUUAAGACGUGAUAAAUGAGCGCGUGUGGUUUUGGGUUGGUGAGAGAAGUUACGAUUAGGCAAGAAGACUGGCCAAUAAUAUAUUGAUAUUAGGUAGUGUUGGGCCUGGGUCAAGGUUUUUUUUUUUUUUUUUUUUUUUUUAUUUUCUCAUCCGAAAUUAAUUAGAGUCAUUCAUGUGGAAUGUUGUUUACAUAAGUGAUAUGAAGCGGUUUUGUACGAACUUUUCGUGCCAGAUUAUCCGCCUUAACAUUAGCCUUACGAGAAAUUAAAGAUAAAGAAAAAGAUGAAAACUCCUCCUUGUCGCUCUGAAAUUCCUCCAAAUACACUGAAAACGCUGGCCAUUCGGUUGGAGAAGACACCAUCUUCACCAGGUCUGAACAGUCUGUAAAGAACGCUACCUCUUGAUUAUCUGCACCAAUCAUACACUUCAUCGCCCAGAGAAGGGCUUCGACUUCGGUAUGUAGUGGAGAUAGACUUCUACGGAGGUUCGCAGCUCCCAUGGUUGGAGGCUAUCCAUUUGACGAUGUACAGAACCAACCUGUACCGGAGAACUUAUCACUUUCUUUCCAUGAUCCAUCUACAAAACAACGGUAUCCCGAAUACUCCGUCUCAAGUGAAACAUCCUUCACUCGAAUUCGAUUUACCAAGUGCACAGAACCAUGAUUUUCAUUAUGGAGCUCAAUUUGAGCGGACUGCCACAAUUGUGCCUCUUUUUCCGCUAAUCGUAAUACUUCUAAUGGGUCUGUAUCUAUGUUUUCAAAGAUCUUUUCGUUCCUUGAUUUCCAAAUAUACCAAAUUAUCCAUGGGAAGGCUGAUGAAUCAACUUCCGUAGGUAUUCUCCAAAAUAAGUGAUCCAAAUUCGUAAAAUUAGAUUCUGUGGGAAAACCCCCAUAGCCGUAGGAAUCUGUGAUAGCGCCCAAAUCUGCCGUGCCGGGUGGCACUGAAAGAGUGUAUGAUUGAUCGUUUCCUCUGCUGCGCCACAUCUGGCACAACCCAUGUCACAAUCAAUUCCCCUUUUCCGCAACUUUUCCGUAACCGGUACACAUCCCGUUAAGAUUUGCCAUAUGAAAUGGCGUAUCUUAGGUGGACACUGCACUUGCCAAGAAUAUGCUUUUAACGGGUUGAUAUUAGGGCCAAAACAGUUUAAAUUGGUCUCCGACUUUUCCAUCCGUGUAGAAUGAUAUUAUCUACUUUAUAUGUUGGUGAGACCGGAAGAUUUUAGUAGAAGAAAAUAAAAUAGUUGUAUUACAAUUUUUAUUCCAAAUGUGUGUAUGUACCAAUAGAAAAAGAAUGGUUAAUUUAUCUUUUACUUUGAAUUAAUAGAAACUUCUUUUACAGAAUUGAAGUGUAAAUAUAUUUUCAAAAUUAGGGGUUUAAUUAAUAUUUUUAUACCACAUCUAAGUUUAAUUACUAGAAAUUACGAAUUAUGGCAUAUUAAUAGUCUCAGAAUUAAACCGUAAAUAUUUUCCAAAAUUAAGGGUUAACUAAUAUAUCUAAAUGAGAUCUAAGGUUCAAUUACUAUAAAUUAUGGUAGAUUAAUAGAACAAGACUUUAGAGAUUUUUAGCGUAAGGAGUAUAGUUGUUCAUUGUGAGUAAUGCGCAAGAGAACCAUUUAACGUAAAUUUUUUUGGUACGGAUAUAACUGUUAGGAGUCGUCCAUGAAAUAGAUCGUCAUUGAUCAUUUGUUAGACUAAAUUAAAAUGAUUUGUUAGCCUAAACUGAUCAUUUUUAAUAUGAUGUAAAUACACUAAAAAUAUCUUACAAUGAUAACGGGUCACUACUUGGUAACAGGUAUACUCAUAGACCUGUUACCGAGUCUCAGCAUGCCUUUUAUUUGUCGUUACGAAGAUACCUUUUUUGCUGUCUCUAAUUUUGGAUGAUUUUUUUGCCCCGCUUGUCUUUCAAGCUACCUACGUAGGGUGAUCCAAGAACGUGUUGUCAUCCCGCUUGCCCUGUGUACAAGAUAUAUUACCUGAAUCCAUCGUAUUUUGAAAUUGUAGUAGUUGAUCAUGAUUACGUGUUGAAUGACCCUCCGAACUUCUGGCUUCUAGAUUUAUAAGGAAAAGAACGCGACUUCUUAAAGGUUUGGAUUUUCUCUGGAACCACAAGUAUAACAUUAUGGUUGCUACCAUGGUUGUCUACUCAGCUCACAAAGAUCAGAAGUUUUACCAUGUAGUGAUUGAUUAUUUGCAGUAGUGGAAAGCCUGGCUCCAUGAGAAGUGCAAGCAUUUGAGAAGUGGAAGAAAUCACAUCACACAACCAUGAAGAUUUUGGGCAUACCUUAGUCUUGAUCUCUCUCUGUUUUACAAUGAACAAAAAUAAAAGAUUAAAUCUAUUAUCUUUCUAAAACAAUUUUAUUUAAUUUUUUAUUCUAAUUAGUUUCUCAAAUUUAGAUAUUUUGUGUAAAUUUGAUUUUCAAAAUAUAUUAUGCAUUAUUUGUGCAAUUGUAAGAUUUUGAAUAUUGAAAUAUGAUAGGUAGCAACUAUGAAUUUGCUCGGCUUCCAUACUUGUAUCUCUAGUUACCUUUUUCACGAAACUUUAUGUAUCUACGAUAUGGCAGAUAUGAACAUCUAGUUCACCGGCUUAUAAUUCUUCAUUUGUCCAUAAAGGACUGAAGCACUGAUUAUAUCACAAAGAACAAAAUCCCAAUGUACGAUAUGACACUUUUGCUUCCUUCUUUACCCGACAAUAUAGCCAUAUAUGAGCUAAGUUAUAGUUUCAUUCUUUGACAAUUUUUUUUGUAGACUGUCUUUUUGUAGUCCAAUACAUGUGCAUUUUGCCAUUAAAAUCAGUGAGCCUCAACUUCUCAUCUACCCUAUGUGUCUCCAGAACAAGUUUAAUAAAAAUUUAAUUAAUUCUUAUGAUCUUCAUAUUCCGUGUACAUAUGGUUUUUCAUAAAACAGUAAUAUUUUAAAUAUUGAAAUAUGAUAUGUUAAAAUUUAUUAAGUUUUUGAAUAUUACAGUUAUGAUAAGAUACCUUGUGUUUCAAUUAUACUUGCUAUUUGUUUGAAAACUGAAUUUUAGUGUUGCAAAUUUUCAGUUUAGUUGGAUUAUUAUUGUGAUUAGAAAUAUUACAAAAUAACUUAUUAUAAUUUUAUAACAUUUUAUUUUACUAUUGUAACAUUAAAUACAUGACUAAAUAUAGUUUGUAUCAUAUAUAUCUAUAAUCAUCAUCCAUUAAUUUUUACUAAUCAAUUUACCAUAUGCAACUAAGUUUACCGUUUUAUUUUAUAAUACAUCAUAUGUUGGAAUAGUAAUAAACAUUUCAUUCAUCAAUAACCAAAUGCAAGUUCAUGAACAGCAGUGGUCACGAAUAAUGGGCUACACACGUUCAAACACAUGUCUUUUUUUUGUUGUUCAUAAUUUCACAUCGUUCAAGCCCAUGUCUAUACCAAGAACGAGACAUAAAAAAUCAAAAGAAUCAAAAAAUAAUAUUUUCAGAGAACACAUACAAAUGUAUAUCAAAGCCACAAAACUAGGCUAAAGUGAGUACAUGACCGUACGUGGGUUAACAUGGAUAUGAUUGGUAGUUAGACCAUUGGGUAUAAGGUUGGAUUAGUGAAUUGUUUGAACAUUGCAUUAGUUUGAGUUACGAUAGACCUAAGCUAAGAUAUCUUAAAUGCAAUUCCUAUUAAGACGGAUAAAAGUGAUUAAUUGGAAUUGGGCAUUGUCACUGAUUAUGUUGACUCACAUAGUCACAUAUGAGUUCGGUUUAUAAAAAUCUGGACCUUUUUAUGAGAAUCUUAAAUCGGCAUGUGGAGAAUUGUGUAUAUGCAUGUUAUCCAUGUAUAUUUUGGUUUCUAUGGAAAAAUAGGAACCAUAUAUUGUUUUAAGAAAUUUUAUCGGAACUUUUCGAUGUUUAAAUCACGCACUAAGUGAAUAUUUAGCAUGAGAUAAUCAAAUAUGUUCAUUACUAAAUCAUUUGGAAACAGAGUUACUAAAUAGUGAUCCUUAGUCCUUAGUGUCAGAUCGAUGGUUAGUGAAAGUGUCCAGAUCCCAUUUUAGGCAUUACUUGGGUAUGCUCACAAGAGAUGAUAAAACAAUAGUUUUUGGAACAAAAUUUCAACGAAGGUGUUUCUCGUCACUAAACUCAAAAGAGAAGCUUUUAAUAUGGGUAAUGAAAACUAUUUUCAUUCGAAUGAUAGAUUAUCAGGUGUUUGAGAUAAAUCUUGUGCAGAAGUGAUAGAUUCUCAGGCGUUUGAUACAAAGUGUGCCUUUUUCAACCUUUUAGAUGAGAUUGGUUUUCUUUGAAAUAGUUUUCCUAAGCUUUCACUUUCGUUCAUCUCUCGCUCUUUAAACUUUAGUGUUGAUUUUUUAUCCAAACUUUAUUGUAUUUUUUUUGGGUCAAGGCUUUAUUGUAUUAAAUGUUUUUUUGCUCCUGAUAAUGCAACCAACAAUCAAAUUAUAUACUGAAAAAAAAUUUGAUGUGUCAUAAGAUUACAUGUAUUUAUAGAAAAGAUUUGAAGAAAAAGUUCAAUCUAAUCGCGAGUAACAUCAUUUAGGCCAAAAAUAUUAUCAGUAUAGAACAAAGCCCUUAUGCAAUCAAGGGAUAUGUAACAACAAGUCUUAAGAGCUGAAAGAUCAAAAUAAAUCAUGCUUCAAUCACCAAUGACAUUUCUUUUCAAAGUUUGAGAAUUCUACACAAAUCAAAUAUCUGACAUUUACAAAGGGUUAUUAGCAGCCAUUUAAGGUCACAAGGCUAGAGUGAAUGUCAAUAACAAUACUUAUGAAACAUCUAUUACACAUCUUGGUCAAAGCAAAUGUGAGCCUUAGCUUGAACAAUCUUCAAGCAGAUGUUACCUUCAAAUCACUUGAUCAGAUAUUCCCUCAAAGGAACUUAGAGCGCUGAUAACUGAUUCAUAUACUCCUAUUCCUUUCAUGAACACUGUAUCUUUAAGAAACUGAGGCCACAAGAAGAUGCUUAUAUCAUAAUUGUGAUUAAAUAUGUCAUUCAAAGAUGUCAAUAGAUAAUAUAAUCAUGCCAAUACCUCGUUAUGAUCAUGCACUAAGAUAGGAGUAUUGAUCAUUGGAGAGAAACCUAGAACUGGAAUUCCUAAAGUGCGAAUAAAGCGUGAAUCUGUACUUGAAAUCAAAAUUUCAGGUUUUGCAAGUUUUCCUCCAGUUGCUUCAAUAGCUUGCUUGAAGAUAGACCACCAAGGAUUAGAACCAUUUGUUAGAGUCAUUAUCGGUCGCCCUAACUGAUCUGCUAACUUUCCUUUCUCUUCUAUCUGGUGCAAUAAAAUUAAUUGGAUUAGUUUAGUUUUCUAUGUAAAGAAAUUAGUAUACAUGAAAAUUAUUCAAGGUACAUGAAUAAUGUGGAAUACUCAAAAGAAACAAAUCAAUUAAUAAUCUAAAGCCAUUAACAAUUUUUCAAAGUAGCUUACAUGUAUCUCGAACAUACGUUUUACUAAUGAUGAAAUGUUUUGCAUAGCCACAAAAUGCUUGGCACAUAUAUUUUUUCUCCACUGUAUAUACAAAACUAAUGCAGACCUCAAAACCACUUAGACAGAUUGAUGGCAGUAUAGAAUACCAAGAGCUAAAGAUUAUUAUAAUAACCAAAAAUGCUUGCCGGCCACUUUAUACAUUGUAGAGAUUAGAGGCAUAUUUAUUUUACCGUGUAGGUCAUGUUCCUAAUAGAAGGAGCCCAUUCCUCAGCAAUCCUUUUCUUCAUAGCAACAGGAUCUGCCAUUGGAGGCAACCUUAUAUCAUACCCAACUUCUGCCUCUGAAGGUUGCAUAUUCAUCACAAAUCCCUUAUAAAAAAAAAAAAAACACUCUUUAACAAAAUGUCUUAUAUAUGCAUUAAAAAAAAAAUUGCAUAUGAAAUCACCAGCUUAGAGCAUUUUCGAACACAUUCCUCUGUUUUCCACUCUAAAAAAUAAAUAAAUUCUUUCUCUACUUCAAUUUUUUAUUAAAAUAUCCUUUUUUUUAUAUCAAAAAUGUUAAUUUAACGUUUUUUUUUUUUUUUUUUUUUGUGCGAUUAACUGAUUUAUUUUAUUCAUUAAUCUAUAGAGUGAGUUUAGAAAGGAUUUUACUCUACAAUAAAGUGUAGAGAGAAAAAUAGAGUAGGAUUCGAGAUGAUCUUACGGUAGUGGAGGGAGUUCCAGCUUUAAGAUAAGCUGGAUUAACAGAGAUAACCUCCGAAUUCGCAGCUUUCCCCGCCUUGACCAAAUCAAAUUGCGUCUCCCUAAACUUAGAGAUCAACUCAACACUCUUCAUCAAAUUCUCCAUAGCUGAAUUAUCAUAAAGCUUAGCACCAUGCCCUGGAAUCCCCUCAGCUCGAAUAACGAGAUGCCAUGGAGUCCGUUCAGCGUAAAACACCCUAAACUCAUCUCCCGGACUCGCUUGUCCUUCAUCCAUAACAAAUCCCAAAUUCAACUCCCUAAACUCCAAAGACGCCGCAAAUUUCAUCAUCCCAUCGAAUCCACCGAUCUCUUCUUCAGGAACGUAAGAGAUAUGGAUCGUACGAAGAGGAACGAAGCCUCUUGAUUUCAAGUUCCUGAUUGCUUCUAGAUACUGAACUCCAAUACACUUGUCAUCUUGCGCGCCACGAGCGUAGAUAUGACCAUCCACUGUUCUCUGAGCUGAGAACGGUGGAUGUAUCCAUUUCUCGGAUUCCGCGGGAACAGAAUCGAGAUGAGAGUUGAAGAGAAUUGAAGGAAGGUUAAGGUUUGAGCCUAGCCAUGUGAGGAGAAGAACUGGCUUACCAUGAACAAACUCGAUGGUUCGAGAAGUGAGACCAAUGGAUCUAGCUUGAUCAAGAAGAAAAGAGAUUGGUGCUGUGUAGUUAGGGUUUGGAUGAGCGGUGUUGAAUCUUAAGUAUUGCUGGAACCGCGUGAUCGGUGUAUCUUCUUCUUCUUCACUGUAUGAUUGGAUCGAGAAGAUAACCGAGAAGAGGAAGAGAGUCCAGAGAAGAGGAGACACCGCCAUGGAAUUGUAGUUGCAAGAGUUAUCAACUUAUAACCGAUCAGAGAGUGAAAGAAGAAGAGCAUCUCCGGGUCCAUACAAAAUUUUUUUGCUAUUUUAUUUUGACUCGAGCUUGACUAAUUGACUCUUGAUCGAAAUGGUCUUUGAAAAAACAUAGAAAAAUAAGAGACCAAGAUAAUAUAUUCAAAUCUUUAGUAUCGUGCAUACGCUAUGCGGGGGAGAAUAAACAUCUAGUGAUCUAGUCUUUUAAAAAUAUACCAUUAAUCUUAUUUUUACUUUUAAUGUAGUCUUUUAAAAAUAUACCAUUAAUCUAAUAUUAUUUUUAACUCUUAAUGUAGUCUUUUAAAAAUAUACCAUUUAAAUAUGUAUUUUUGCUGUGUAGACUACAUUAAAGAAAAGACUACAUUAAGAGUUAUCUUAAUGUGAAGACUACAUUAAAGCUAGUCUUUAAAAGACUAGAUCCAAUCAUACAGUGAAGACUACAUUAAAGAAAAGGUAUUUUUCAAAAGUGUAAACAAAAAGAGGGUAUUUUUCCAAUAUGUAAAUUCUUUAAAAACUACAGAAAUACACAUUCUUUAAAAGAAAAUUAAAGAAAAGGUAUUUUUCAAAAGUGUAAACAAAAAGGUAUUUUUCCAAAUUUACUCUAAAAAGAAUGUGUAUUUCUGUAUGCCCUAAAUUUUAUUAGAAAUUUGAAAUGUAUACUAUAAUUUUAAAAAAUUUGAGAUGUAUCUUAUUCUUUUUCCAAAAUGACAUUUUUGUCCUUAGUUAAUAACUAAAAAUUUUCAGAAAACGAAAAUAAAAUAAUUUGAUUAGUUACAAAUAUUAUUUAAAAUUCAAAAUUAAAUUGUUCAUAUUAAAAGAAAAAUUAUUAACUCAAAUUUUUUUAUUAUUAUUUUGUGAAAAUGUUAAUGAUGAAACUAAAACUAAUAAUUAUGAUAUAAAUUAUGACUUUUAAUUAUAUAAUAAAAUUAUCUAGAUUUUGGGUUGAUGUAGUAUAAUUUUGGAUAAUGAUUUGAUUAAUAUUAACUACAAACUUUUAUUAUAUAUAAUUUAAAAAUAUUUUUUAGAUUUUGUCAUUGCUAAUAUUUUCGAAUAUAUAUGCACUAUAUUUAUUUUAAAUUUAUUACAAAAUUAAAUUAUAUAAUUUAAAUUAAUUACUCUAAAAUAAAUUAUUUAUUUAACUAUUAUAAUUAAAAAUGAAUAUCUUUACUAAAAAUAUAAAUCAACAGUUCAAAAAAUCGAAAAUGUAAAAAAUCAAUUAACUAAAAUACAAGUCAGCUGUUUUAAUAUAAGUUGAUAGAAAAGAAAAUUAAGUCGACAAAAAAUAAAAUAUAAGUCAACAGUUCAACAAAUCAACCUUAUCAAUAAAUCGAUGUAAAAUUACAUAAGUCAAUAGUUUAAAAAAGUCGACAAAGUCAAAUAUCAAUCAACCAAAAUAUAAGUCGACCGUUUUAAAAUAAAUUGAUAGAAAAUAAAUUUAGUCGACGAAAUGAAAUAUAAGUCGACAGUUCAAAAAAUCGACAUUAUUAAUAAGUCAACAUAUAAUGAAUUAAGUUUACCAUGAAUAAACAUGCCGACAGCAAAAAUUAUAAACCAAUAAACAAAAUAAAUAAGUCAAUAGAUCAAAAAAUCGACUAUUUUAUAAAUCAACUAGUCAAAAUAUAAGUCGAGUGUUGUAAAAUAAAUCGACAAGAAAGAAAAUUAAGUAAAAAAAUGGAAAAUAAGUCGAAAGUUCAAAAAAAUCGACUUUAUCAAUAAAUCAACAUAGGAUGAAUAAAUUUACGAAAAAAUAAGAAGAACUUUUUGUUUAUUUAUUAUAAUUUAAAUAAUUUUUAAUUAUUGAUUUUAAGUAAAUUACAAAUCUUACUAAUAUUAUAAACAAUAAUAUUUUAUAUUUUUAUCUAUUCAAAAUUUAGAUAAUGAUUACUCCAAACAUUGUAAAUAAAUUUUUUGAUUAUUAUUAUUAAAUAAUAACAAAUUUUACUUAUUUUUUAAAAAAUAUAUUAUUUUUAAUUUAUUAAUUUAAAAAAUGCUUAAAUUAAUAAGAAGGGUAUUAUGGUAAAUUCUCAAUAUAAAUAGAGUAUUGUUCAAAUUACUAUAAAACUUAGUGUACUUUUCAAAUUUCUUAUAUAAUUUAGUAUAUUUAUAAAAAUCUCCCAUUUACAUAUUGGAAAAAUACCCUUUUUUUGUUUACACUUUUGAAAAAUACCUUUUUUAUAAUUUUGUUUUAAAAGUAACUUAAAUAUGUAAAAUUACUAAAAUUUACUUAAACUUAAUAACAAUUAAUCAAAAUAUCUAUAUUUUAAAUAUAAAAUAUAUUUAUUGAUAAGAAUUUAAUAUAUAAUUUUUACAAAGUUUUUAUAUAACUAAAAAUUCCAAAAAUUUAUUAUAAUAAAUAUUUUUUAAAAAAUAAUGCAUAACAACAUUCUACCGAUAUUAAGUCAUGUGUUAUUUUUUAAAACAAUAAAGAAUAACAAAAAAAAUUCAAAGAGAAUCAUUGAAUUGAAGCAAAGUUUUGUGAAAGGAAAAUUGUUAAAAAUACCCCUUUUGGUGUACCCAUUUUCAAAAAUGUCCCUUUUAGAUGUCCAUUUUCAAAAAUGCCCCUUUUUAAAUCUGAAAUUUUUAUAAGUUUUAUUAGGUUUAUAAGGUACUUAUGGAUUGUAACUACUACUUGAAGACUCGAUCCAAGUAUUUAUAAGGUUUUAUAAGGUGUUUUUAAAGGUAUUACAAGUUAUUUUAAAGGAUUUUUAAGGUUUUUCAAAGGUUUUACAAGAUAUUUUAAAGGUUUUUAAAGGUAUUUAAAAUGCAUUUAUAAGGUAUUUAUAAAGUAUUUAUAAGAUUUUAGAUACAUAUAAAUGUAGUUUGUGUAUGUUUUAAUAAUAUUACAUACAUAUUUGGGUAAGUCUUAUAUUUUUAAAAGCAUUUUUUAUAAGGUUUUAAAAAAGAGGUAUUUUUCUAAAAGUGGCAUUUUUGCAAAAGCCCCUUUGUGAAAUGUUGAGUUAAAAAAUGUGUUUGGAGUGUUGGAGAUUAUUUUACUUUAUAUAACAUGCCAAAUAUUAAGUGAUAUAAUUUAUAAUAUUUUUAGAUAUUAUCUUGUUAGAUUUUAAUAUAUAAAAUUGAUAAACCAUAUUAGUUUUAAAUAUAUAUAUAUAUAUAUAUAUAACUUUAAUUAAAAUUAUCUUUAAUUUAGUUUUUUUUUCUUUCCCUAAAUUUCGAAUUAAGUUUAUUUAUUAAAAAAUAUAGCUUUAAAUUUAAAUUAAUACCAAAUUGUCAUUUUAUAUAUAAAAUAUUCUAGUUUUCAUCAAAAAUAAAAAGGUAGUUUUCAAAGUAUAACUUAAAAACAGUAGUUUUCAAAAUAACCCUUCUUUUUAAGUUUAUAGUUAUUAUGGAUCAAAUUAUUAUUAUGAGUAAGGGUUGAUGAUUCUAGUCUCUAGAUUAAGGUUUAGUUUUUGGAAUUUAGGUUUUAAGAAGUUAAGAUUUAUAAUUAAGAAUUUAAAUUAUUACUUUAGACCAUUUUGUUAAUUUUGAAAAAUAUAGAGCAAAAAAUAAAUUCAUCAGUCUAAUUGUCAUGUAAAUGAUCGUAAGAACACCUCUAUUGGAAGUAGGCCUGUAAACGGAGCAGAUAUCUGGUUUUUUUAAGAUAUCCGUAUUAUCCGCCAAUUUAGUAUCCGUAUCCGUAUCCGGAAAUUCGUUAAAAAUUCGGAUAUCCGCGAAUGUCCGGAAAUAGUGUUUUAAAAUCCUUAAUUGAUUAAUAUCAUACAUAAAAAAAAACUUAAAAAAUUCAUAAAAUAGCGAAAAGUUGAUUAUAUAUACAAAACAUUACAAAAACAAAGAAUUUAUUAAAGUAGGAAAACGUUUAAAAGAUUCAAGUGAUGUUUUAAAAAAAAAGAGACAUUAAUCAACUUCUUAAAUUCUUCUUAGAAAUUUAUUUUUAAUUUUUGUCAUAUGAUUUAUUUAUUAACAAUGAAAAUAAAAUAAAAACACUUAAAAAGUUGGGCUUACAAGUUCUUUUGGGCUUUAACACUUGAAAAGUUGAGUCAUAAGCCUUUUAAUUUAUAAUAUAUAUGUUUUUUUUUUGCUGGAUAUCCGUUAUCCGGCCCAAAUUUAAGGAUUAUCCGUAUCCGUAUACAUAACCGGGAUAUCCGUUAUUUUACUAUCCGUAUCUGUAUCCGUUUGACCGGAUAUCCGUUUUUUCGGAUCAAAAACCGGAUAUGGAUACGGAUAUCCACGGAUGACGGAUAUAAAUCUCAGGCCUAAUUGGAAGGUUUCUAAGUGAAUUUCUCAUAAUAAAAAAAAAAAAUAAUAAUUGUAAAGAAAGUGUAGAAAGGUUCUCAGAAAGGUUCGCGAUAUUCUUGAGAACCCUAUUAAAACGCUUGUCUAAAACAAUUCAAUUUGUUAUUUUAAAUAAAAGUUUAUUUAUAUAAUCAAAUUGUAUUAAAAUACUGAUAUAUUUUUUUUAAUUGAGAAACUCUUUGGAGUUCUCCUUGAUAUGCUCUAAAAACCACAAAACCAACAUCUCAAACCCAUCCAUUUUGUUUUGCUAAAAGAAACCAAGCCCAUGCAGGCCCAUUGAAACAGAAAAGAGCAAAGUACAAAACGACAAGGGUUUGUUGUGUCUUGUGUUCGUGUAUACAUUUAUUUCCCUCUUCACGAUGUUGGAAGUGAUCAAGUCUUCAUAUUUGUUUUAUUUAGAGUCAUAUAAUGUAUGAUAGCACUAAUAUGUAAAUCAUUCGUAUCACUUAUGAGAUACGUAUGAUAUAAGUAACCGCUAAGUAGUUAUUGUUGAGUAGUUGUGUCUCCACAUUGAGACAUCUGUUAGAGAUGCAACUCUUAGUCCAAAGUGUGUCUUGUAAACCUAUAAAUAUUGCUUUCACUAUCUAAUAAAGUCAUGCGGUUUUCUCGUUAUACAAAACAGAGGAAGAUCAACAAAGAGAUACAUUGAGUGGUUAUACAAAACAGAGAGGUAAGACAAAACAGAGUAAAAUCUGUGUUGUCCGAUCCUUAAACACUUUGAGAGUUCAAAGUUCUACAUGGUAUCAGAGCUAUGGAGACAACAAUGCACCAAGUUAUUCCAAUCUUCAAUGGUGAAUCAUACGGAUUCUGGAAAAUCAAAAUGAUUACCAUCUUGAAGACACGAAAGCUAUGGGAGAUUGUCGAAAACGGAGUCACGGCGAAUCCAUCUUCUGAAAGCACAUCAGAAUCAAUCAGAGAGAGAGAAGAUCAAUUGAUGAAAGACAUGUUGGCUCUCCAAAUCCUUCAAAGUGCAGUCUCAGAAUCUAUAUUUCCGAGAAUUGCUCCCGCGUCGACCGCAAAAGAUGCUUGGAAUGCUUUGGAAAUGGAGUUCCAAGGAAGUUCACAAGUAAAGAUGAUCAAUCUUCAGACUUUGAGAAGAGAGUAUGAGAAUCUGAAGAUGGAGGAAGGUGAAACCAUAAAUGAUUUCACAACCAAGUUGAUUAAUCUGAGUAAUCAACUAAGAGUUCAUGGAGAAGAGAAGUCCGAUUACCAAGUGGUUCAAAAGAUUCUAAUCUCCGUACCACAACAAUUCGACAGCAUCGUUGCGGUACUUGAACAAACAAAAGAUCUAUCAACUCUUUCUGUCACAGAGUUGAUAGGAACAUUGAAGGCGCAUGAGAGGCGUUUAAAUCUCCGAGAAGAUCGUAUCAAUGAGGGUGCGUUUUAUGGAGAAAAGCUUGGUUCAAGAGGAGGAAACAAGCAAAACAAAGAUCGCCAUGGGAAGACCAACAUGUGGUGUGGCGUGUGUAAGAAGAACAAUCACAAUGAGGUAGAUUGUUUCAGAAAGAAGAGUGAAAGCGUUUCACAAAGAGGUGCAAACUAUGAAAGAAGAUGCUACGUGUGCGACAAGCCAGGACACAUAGCCAAAGAUUGUAAACUUAGAAAAGGUGAAGAUGAAGAUGGGUGUCAUAUGCUAUUUAGUGCUGUUGAAGAAAAAGAGAUCUCAACAAUCAAAGAAGAAACUUGGUUGGUAGAUAGUGGGUGCACCAAUCACAUGUCUAAAGACAUUAGAUACUUCAUAACCUUGAAUCGCAGCAAGAAAAUUACCAUAAAGAUUGGUAAUGGUGGGAAAGUCGUUUCCGAAGGCAAAGGAGACAUAAGAGUAACCACAACCAAAGGAGAUCAUGUCAUCAAAGAUGUACUUUAUGUACCCGAACUAGCAAGAAAUUUGCUUAGUGUCUCCCAAAUGAUAUCAAAUGGAUAUCGGCUCAUCUUUGAAGGCAACAAGUGUGUGAUUCAAGACGUAAAAGGAAGAAAAAUCUUGGAGAUCAAGAUGAAGAACAGAAGCUUUCCAAUUCGUUGGAAAAAUUCAAGAGAAGAAGCAUAUGUGGCUUUCGAAGAAAAAGAAGAACAAACAAAUCUCUGGCACAAGCGUUUUGGUCAUGUGAACUAUGACAAGAUGGAGAAAAUGCAAACGCUAAAGAGUGUAGAAGAUCUUCCAAAAUUCGAAGUAAUAAAAGGCGUAUGUGCGGCUUGUGAGAUGGGAAAACAACCAAGGAGGAGCUUUCCAAAGAAAUCUCAAAGCAACACAAACAAAACCUUGGAGCUUAUUCAUUCGGACGUGUGUGGUCCAAUGCAAACGGAGUCAAUAAACGGGAGCAAGUACUUCCUCACGUUUAUUGAUGAUUUCUCAAGAAUGACGUGGGUAUAUUUCUUGAAAAACAAGAGUGAAGUGAUCACAAAGUUCAAGAUAUUCAAGCCUUAUGUGGAGAACCAAUCGGAGAAUCGGAUCAAAAGGCUUAGAACAGAUGGAGGUGGUGAAUUUCUAUCGAGAGAAUUCAUCAAACUAUGUCAAGAGAGUGGCAUACAUCAUGAGAUAACGACUCCCUACUCUCCACAACAAAAUGGUAUAGCGGAAAGAAGAAACAGAACGCUUGUAGAGAUGGCAAGAUCAAUGAUCGAAGAGAAGAAGUUAUCUAACAAGUUUUGGGCUGAAGCUAUUGCAACAUCAACAUACUUGCAAAACAGAUUGCCAUCUAAUUCAUUGGNNNNNNNNNNNNNNNNNNNNNNNNNNNNNNNNNNNNNNNNNNNNNNNNNNNNNNNNNNNNNNNNNNNNNNNNNNNNNNNNNNNNNNNNNNNNNNNNNNNNNNNNNNNNNNNNNNNNNNNNNNNNNNNNNNNNNNNNNNNNNNNNNNNNNNNNNNNNNNNNNNNNNNNNNNNNNNNNNNNNNNNNNNNNNNNNNNNNNNNNNNNNNNNNNNNNNNNNNNNNNNNNNNNNNNNNNNNNNNNNNNNNNNNNNNNNNNNNNNNNNNNNNNNNNNNNNNNNNNNNNNNNNNNNNNNNNNNNNNNNNNNNNNNNNNNNNNNNNNNNNNNNNNNNNNNNNNNNNNNNNNNNNNNNNNNNNNNNNNNNNNNNNNNNNNNNNNNNNNNNNNNUUUUAUCAAGAAUGGCUUUGUGAGAAGCAUCAAUGAUGCAGCGCUUUAUGUGAAGAAGACCUCAAAGGAGAUAAUGGUGGUUAGUUUAUAUGUUGAUGACAUCAUAGUCACGGGAAGCAAAAUAAAGGAGAUUGAACAAUUCAAGGAGGAGAUGAAGAAUGAGUUUGAAAUGACCGACUUAGGAGAGCUAAGUUACUUUCUCGGCAUGGAAGUAACCCAAAACGAAGAAGGUAUUUUCUUGUCACAAGAAAAUUAUGCAAAGAAGCUCUUGAAGAAAUUUGGAAUGCAAGACUGCAAAAGUCUGUCAACACCAUUAACUCCUCAUGGAAAGAAGAAGGAAGUCUUAAAGGAGAACCUUGAAGAUGUUACAAAGUAUAGAAGCAUAAUCGGAGGUUUGCUAUAUCUUUGUGCUUCACGGCCAGACAUCAUGUAUGCAAGUUCAUACCUGUCUCGUUACAUGGCUGCUCCAACAAUGCAACAUUACCAAGAAGCCAAGCGAGUUCUAAGGUAUGUUAAAGGUACUUUGAACUAUGGCAUUCAGUUCAAGCGAGUAGAAGAACCAGAGUUGGUGGGAUUCUCCGAUAGUGAUUGGGGUGGUUCAGUGGAAGACAAGAAGAGUACAAGCGGCUAUGUCUUUACGAUUGGAUCUGGUGCAUGCUGUUGGAACUCAAGCAAGCAGAAGACGGUUGCUCAAUCAACGGCUGAGGCCGAGUACAUUGCGAUUUGUUCUGCAGCAAAUCAAGCCAUAUGGCUACAAAGGCUAGUGAAUGAAAUCGGAUUCAAGACUGAAAAAGGUACAAGGAUUCUAUGUGAUAACAAAUCUGCAAUUGCUAUAGGAAAGAAUCCAGUUCAACAUCGUCGAACAAAGCACAUUGACAUCAAGUAUCAUUUCGUAAGAGAGGCUGAACAAGAAGGAAAGAUUAAGCUUGAACAUUGUCCCGGAGAAUUUCAAGUCGCCGAUAUCUUAACCAAACCUUUAAACACGUUAAGGUUCGAGUCUCUACGAGAAGAGCUAGGCGUGAAGAUGAAGCCAUGAUCAAGGAGGAGUGUUGGAAGUGAUCAAGUCUUCAUAUUUGUUUUAUUUAGAGUCAUAUAAUGUAUGAUAGCACUAAUAUGUAAAUCAUUCGUAUCACUUAUGAGAUACGUAUGAUAUAAGUAACCGCUAAGUAGUUAUUGUUGAGUAGUUGUGUCUCCACAUUGAGACAUCUGUUAGAGAUGCAACUCUUAGUCCAAAGUGUGUCUUGUAAACCUAUAAAUAUUGCUUUCACUAUCUAAUAAAGUCAUGCGGUUUUCUCGUUAUACAAAACAGAGGAAGAUCAACAAAGAGAUACAUUGAGUGGUUAUACAAAACAGAGAGGUAAGACAAAACAGAGUAAAAUCUGUGUUGUCCGAUCCUUAAACACUUUGAGAGUUCAAAGUUCUACACACGAGCCGCUUUAAGCAAAAAAAAAGAAUUGAUUUCACGAAAGCAAGCCGAAGCAGUUGUUUUUGUCAUGUUAUGACCGCUGUAGUAAUUUAUCAUCCUAAGCUACGUGAGGGAAAAGAGAGAAGAUCGUGAUGGGUCGUGAAAGCAAAGUAGUGGGGAGAAACGGAUCGACGGCAAUGGAGACGAAUAGACUAUACUUAGCUUGUCCACGGUGAUGGUGAGGCAGUGGCGAAUCCAUCAGCAUAGAUCAGAACUGGUGGUGUUGAGAACAGUCGAGGAAGAGGAGAAGAAAUAGUACCAAGAAGGUGUUCAGUUUCGAGUUGGGGUUUCUUGAGGGCGAGUUUCGGGUCAGAUGUGAGCAAGUGAGACCAGAUAAUGCUGGAUUUUGAUAGAGCUCAUGUCAGAGAAGCCAUGUGAUCCAUUGGCUUUGUCAUUGAAGGUAAUCCCUAGCCAUGGAGAUGAUUUCUUUCAGCGCAAAAAAACAAGUGUAUCGGUUAAAAAACUGGUAAAAAAUAAACCCUAGAAAACAGUUCUCAGAUGGCUUUUUCAACGUUUAGAAGUUUAAAAAUAACCUGAUCGGGAUGAAAUUUGGUAGCGAGUUUCAUGGUACUAUUGGCUAUAGAUUCAAUAGUGGGAUUGUGACUUCAUCAGUUAGUUAUUGAUUUAUUCAAGUGUUUCCAAGGUAGAUUUGUAUCGAACAAAUUAAUUGUGACAAAUUGUAAUGUUUGGUUAGGCAAACAAACUCUGUUGAGCUGAAACUUUUUAGGAGCCUUCAAGACUCACGGAUUUAGGUUUCGGUUGAUGGAGAACCGCAAUUGAGCUUAACAGUAUGUGGUUGAAGCUCAGGUGGUAAAUUUCUCUUAAAUGAGAAGAAAUGAGAAGCAAGUUGUUUUUCAACAUCAAGUAGCUAAGGUGAGAUUGUUAUUUGUGAUACAUAGUUUUCCUUUUGUUAUGUUUCUUGAUUCAUGACAUAAAUGUUUAGAUCUGAUUGUCCCGGACAAGAUUAGCUAGGUAAUGGUAUCAUUUGGUGAUUGUUAAGUUGAUGUUUGAUAUGUAUGAUGAUGAUGUUUGAUAAUAUCAAGCAUCAACUCAACAAUCACUAAAUUAUAUAUGGGAUGAAUUAAAAAACAUUACAAAAGAAAGCAACAUUAUAUAUGUUUGGCAAAUACCACUUUCACAUUAACAACUCACUUCUCCUUUCUUAUUAUUUAUACAAAUUUACUAUCUUAGUUUCAACUGCCUCUUUUUCCAUACUUUUGAGUUCUAACUUGGUUUUCCAUCAACCAGAACUAGAUCCAUAAAUCCUAAAAGCUUGUAUAACGUUUGGGCUCAAACCAAGCUUGUUUUCUCAACCAAACAAUACAGCUUGUCACAAUUUACUCGAUACAAAUGUCUUGGAAAUUCACGAAAAAUUAACAACUAAUCGUUGGAAACACAAUCCCACUUUUGAUCAUCAAGCCUGAAGUAUCAUGAAGCUCUCCACCAAAUUUUACUCAGAUCCGACUUCACAUGAACCUCUCACGAUACUCUGAAGUUGUUGUGAUGGAACUGUUUCUUGCGCAGGGAGAAAGCUUCACUUUGGCUAAGGCUCAACUUUGUUGAGAGCGUCAUUGGCUCCGUUUGCUUUUGUACUCUUCAAGGAAGACACUUGAGUUGACACCGUAACACCGUUCUUAGGGUGACCGGUUUUUUGGAAGUUAAGUGAUCCCAAAAUAAAUGAGAACGGGUCUUUUAUCUAUUUUUUGGUUCGGUUUACGUCGACGUCGUCUUUCUUCAUUAAUUGGGAUGUAAAAUUUAGUUUUGAAACGAACCAAUUAAUGUAUCAUGUUUUACACGUAUAGCAUCUCUUAACGAACCAAUGCAUCAAGAUUCGUUUUUAUUUGGUGAAGGAAAAGUUUUAUAUUUCCAUAUCUUUGAAUUUGCUGUGAUAGAACUGUUUCCUAGGGUUUCAGGUUUGGACAGUUUCGACUGUUUCUUGCGCAGGAAGAAAAUCUUGUUGUGGCUAGCUUAACUUGGUUGACAGCGCCAGUUGCUUCAAUGGGUUCUUUGACAUGAACUAUGUCUAGUCUUCUGUUUAAUUUGGUCUCACUCACUCAGACAUGGCCGGAAACUUAUUACCUUCAAAACCCCAACUCAAAAGUAAAAACUGCCUCUUUUACUUCUUUCUUCUUUCUUUUUCCUCUCCUUUAAAUACAUAAAAAAUUUUGUUGGUGUAACAAAGUCUAUAUAUGCGGUACUUACAUGAUACACCAAUAUAUAUGCAGAACCAACACAUAAUGAAAACCCUUGUCAUUUGUACUUUACUCCACUUUGGUUCCAAUGGGCCUUAUGGACUUGGUUUCGUUUACCAAAAUAAAAUAGGUGGGUUUGGGGUGUUAGUCUUGUACAAAGUUGAUACCAUAGUUGCCACUUAAUCAGUUAGGACUUGGUUUCGUUUACCAAAAUAAAAUAGGUGGGUUUGGGAUGUUAGUCUUGUACAAACUUGAUACCAUAGUUGCCACUUAAUCAGUUAGCUCGGCCAAGGCCGGACUUAACAACACUAGAGACAACAAACCAAAAAAUGCAGUACACAUGUUUUCUUACCGAAAUAAAAAGGUGGUAACAUACCAAAAUAGAAGUUUUCGAACCCUAUGCUAGCCGCAGUCUAAUUUAAUCGACAUCCUUAAGACAAUAAAAUUUUAUUCAAGUAGUUGAAUGAGAAUGCAUUCGAUGAAUAUUUCUUUUUGUUGUUGUUGUUGUUGUGUUGGCGAAAAUAAUAUAACAUAGAAAGGAAGAAAAAGAAAAAGAAAAACCAUAUUUAUUAUUCCUGAAAUGUAGCAAAAGAGCAGUCCAUAAGAUAUGGACAACAACAAAAUUGCAUGACUAAAGAACCCAAGAAGAAAAGAAAAGCCCUAUAGUUAAAAAAAAAAAAAACCAAACAAGAGCUAAUACUUAACAUGACAAGUGUAACGAAUAAGAGGAACGAAGAAAGGAUCGGUGAAGAAGCCCAAAAUGACAUCGGUACAUUCAUGUCUCAUGUUGACAAUAAGGUUGCAGCAAUAGUCACUAACAAGAAACCCUCUUCUGUAGUAACUUACCUCCAUCUGUUGCUUACAUAUUGCCGACGGUCCAAAUUCGCUAAUGCAGCUCGCGAAAUGCACCCACGGAUUUUGAUAUCGAUGUGCCGGAGUUGAUGGCCUUGUUGGUGGCGGUGGUGGAGACUUCUUGGGAGUUGGACGCGGAGGUGAUGGUUUAGGAGAUG